This 55986-nucleotide long non-coding RNA is filed under the name Citrus maxima (pomelo). RNAcentral's name for it is "long non-coding RNA (CMAX_LNC000216)". The record is from RNAcentral. Lineage: Eukaryota; Viridiplantae; Streptophyta; Magnoliopsida; Sapindales; Rutaceae.
CAGCCAAUAGUGGAAGAAGGCAACGUUCUAUCUGCUGAUGCUGAAUCAUUGAUGAAGGAAAUCCACUGUUUGGAACAAUUAAAUCUCAUCACCUUGUCCUUACAUGGUUCGCGUGGUGUUGAAAACUUUCUGAAAUUCCCAAAGCUGCAGAAUAUCACUCAAGCUCUGCACAUCGAAGACUGCAACAGUCUACCGCUCAAUUUGUUGCAUCUAGCAAACAUGGAGCAUCUUGAGAAGUUAUUUAUCGAGGAUAGUAAUUUGGAAGACUGGAAUGUCGACUGCGCGGGAGAGGUACAAAAAAUGCGUAAACUUCACUUUGUUUCAAUAUACGAAUGCUCAAAUGUGAAGGACUUAACGUGGCUUGUUUUUGUUCCAAAUCUCAAGUGGCUGCGAAUAUUUGAUUGUGAUGACAUGGAAGAAAUAAUCAGUGUUGAAAAUUUUGAAAAAUUGAGUGAAGUUUCAGAGAUGAUGGGAGAGCUUAACUUGUUCUCGGAACUCGAAUCUCUGAAUCUAGGAUAUGCAAGUAAUUUGAAGCGCAUCUACCGCGAUCCCUUGCCCUUUCCACAGCUGGAGCAAAUUUACAUAUCGAAAUGCCCAAAGUUGAAGAAGCUCCCGCUCAAUUCCAGCAGCGCAAAGGGACGUAAAAUUGUCAUUUACGGGGAGAAAGAAUGGUGGGAAGAGCUACAAUGGGAGGAUCAAGCCACUCAAAGUGCUUUCUCUCCCUGUUUGGCUGUUUCGUGCCUUCAUGAAUAAUAAAGUGCAAUAAGGCGCAAAAGUGUGAAUAAAGUUUCUGCGUGUGCUUAAUGAUUAUCUUGUCUAUCCAUUUCAUUUAAUUUAAAAGCUUUCUACGGUGUUGCGUGUGUGUCACUUGUCAUUCUUCUGCACUGCUGUUUCCUAUUUCCAGUUAAUAAAAUUUUUUUGUUCUUAGAAAUGCUUUGCUGGUAAUAUAUUCUAUUUACUUUCCUCCUAUUUUCAUUACAGCUAAUAAUUGCAUAGUUGUAUAAUUUUUUAAUAUUAUCUUUAUUUUUAAAUAUACUUUUAUUUAUAUUUAUUAUAAAUUAAAUAAAUGUAUGAAUAGAAAUUAAAAUGAAAACUAAGUAUUAAAACAAGAAAUAUAUAUUUUGAUUUGAAUAAAAAUAUAAAUAUUUGUUUGUACUUUUUUAUAUAUAUAUUCAAUAUAAGAAAAUAUUUAUAAAAUAAAAAGUGUAAGAAAAAUAUCUUAUUAUUAAUUCUUAUUCACAUCAAAACAUAUAUUUCUUACUUUAAAUACUUAAUUUUUUAUUCAAAUUAUCAUUCAUAUGAUUUAUUUAAUUUAUAAUACAUAUAAAUAAAAAUAAUAUUGUAAAUUAUGUUGUUAGAAAUUAUUAGUUAUUAUAAAAAUAAUAUGGGACAAAUGGUAAAUCGGAGAUAUUGUUUCCUAUUUUCAGCUAAAAAAUUUAUUUGUUCUAAUAAUUGCUUUGCUAGUAAUAAGGCCUGCAAGUUGCUUAACUGAAUAUGACUUCUUUUUUAAAAAUGUUACUAUCAAUUUCGAUGAUUGAUUAUCUCGAAGUAGUGAAAUUUAUGUAAUGUUGGUAUUAAAAAAAUUUGUGCUACUGAUAAAAAAAGUCCAUUGGAUUCGGCCUAAAUGACGGAUCGUGGCUUGAUUUUCUCAUCCCAAAGGCUCUGUAUCUCACUUUCGAAAGUAGUUUUAGCAUAAUGUAGGUGAAAAAUUAAAAUAUUCUGCGAUCUCUAUAUAGCUUUUCCAACAGAUUUCACCCAUUUGACUGUAGACCAAAGCAUCCAUUGGAUCGAUGCAUUUAUUAAGAAGAGGAUCAUUCGGAGCUACAAUUGGAGGAUCGAGUCACGCAAAGAGUUUUCUCUACUUGUUUCGAUCCUAUGGAGAUAGAGUUUUCAUAGAUUGAUGGUAGGAGCUUUUUUGUCAAUUUAUGUAUCUAAUUGUGUGUAACAUGCUUUCUUGUCUUUCAUAUCAGACAUUGUAAAUUUGUAAUGUUGCCAUUUUCUUUUUCCUAUCAAGAAAGAAAGAGCAUUGCGAGUAGUCUUUCCAAUUUUCACUCCUUUUUGGUAUGUGAAGAAAAAUAAUAAAGCAAAACAAACUAGUGUUGAAGAAAAAGAAAAUGACAAGUUCAAUAGGGCAAAAGUUCACCAUCCCUUUACCAUUUGCUCAAGCAAGUAAGCUUUACGUUUACUUCUUGAGAUUUGAACUAACCAGACAACUUGUAAUGUUACCAUAAAGUUCAAAGAUUAGAAGAGAAAAACUUAUGUCUGUUAGGCACUAUUAUUCAGGCUUAAAUAAUAACAAUAAAAUACUACACCAUGUCUGCUCUCUUUUACUUUUCUUGGUUCUGUUGUAAAAUUCAGUUCUAUUUGAAGGAAAUUAUUAACAUCAAAACUAAAUACUUCGUGAGCAUCUACUGACAACAUACUCCAGAUGACACCAUAACCAUAUCAUAUAAAGCAAGAAAUGUGAAAUAAAUACAAAAUGAAUCAUAGGAGGGAAUUACCACACUCUGCGGUCUCUCCUGCUAAACCCUGCAGUUAGAAUGCCAUUUGUCGUGAGCACCUGAAUCCCCAAAGGACUCCCAGCUUCAAGUGGCUUUGACUUAGCUUGCUUUAGCUCCAUUGCACAUACUCACUCACAUGAAGGAAAUGAACAGAACAAGAAACCUCAUCAUGCCGAAUAUGAUAGAUAUGACAAGGCAUUACACUGUAGGAAGCUCCCGAUUUCUCUACAAAACUCUGCAGGUUCUCCACAAUCAAGGCGUGCUCCAUCUUUAACAGAUCACUUCUACCAUUAAGAGAAGGAAGAGAGUUCCUCUCGUGUGGCAGUAAAUCCUUACUUAACACAGGAUUGAAGCCAACCAAGAACGGAAGGCAAUUUCGUUAGAUUAAGAACCGAAUCACCAUCCAAUAUAGUAGCAUUUGAACCAGAACUCUUGUUAAAUUCUUGAAAUCUCCUGCUUUCAUCAGUCUGUAAGAGAAAUGAAGAUGAGAAUAAUAGCCAGAACCGGAUUAAAUUCAAUCUGGUCUUUUGAAGACUUCUAUAACAACUAAGAGAACCCAGUGUACCGCCUACAGAUACUGUCAGGCUUCUAUCAAAUAUCCCAAACACCAAAAACCAACCCAAUUAAGCUAACAAACCUGCAUGAAUAUCUAAAUUUCAAUGCACGUGAAACAAACUCCGUGUUCAAUCCACCAAAACUAGCAAAUUUCAAACUUUAUCACUCAUCAUUCUCUCUCUGUCAGCUGUAUGAGGCUAUGAGAUCAUGUUAUAAUGUUCAUAUUGAUGCUGAAUGUUUUGCCAGCUUGUCUGAAUUCCAUAAGAGAAUGCAAUGUGCACAUUAUUGUGCCUUGCCCACCAUUAGAUUCUAAACCACAAAAUCAUUGUGUGAAGUAGCUGACGUUUCGCACAUUCUUAUCCCUUAUCAUCAAUAUUCUUCUCCUCAAGCUUAGAUCAUGGAAAUUUGAGUGACAAACAUGAUAACAUGGUAACACCAUCUAAACUUUAGGGGCAUAAAGUAACAUAGAAGCAACAUGGGAUGUUUUAAAAUCUAUUAUAAUUUGCUUAGGCCCCUGAAUAAAAUUAAAACUUGUAAUGAAAUAAAGUAGCAAAAUAAAGAUUGGAGGUCGCAUGCUUGAUAUUUGAUGCUGUCAAAAUUAAUUUGCAGUGCUGAAAUUGCUGCUCCAAUAAAUUUUUCAAUGGGAUUUCUAUAUUUACAACAAAUUUUCAGUAUUGAAACAGGAUUAAAAUCAUAAAGUAUCUUUUAAACAGCAGAGGCAACAAGAUCCUACAGAAAAAGAAGGCAAAAAGUAGUUACAAGCUACAGAAACGCAAAUAUUCUACUGGCCAACUCCCACUAAAUUCGAAGCAAUUCUAAAAUCUCAGCUUGUACUACGACAUCAUUCCUUCUAUGUGGCCCAACUGUACUUCACCCAGAAAUCACAUUUCUUCAUCAGAGAUAAUUUUACUUCUAAUAAGAGAGAAUUUUUUAUAUGCAUGGCUUUACAGUAAUGAAUAAUUUUCCUUAAAUCUUUUCUAACAGACAAGAAAGCACAAAGCACAAAAAUUGAUAUAAACAACUUUUCUCGAAGCUUUUUCAUAAGAAAACCUGAACAUGAUUGCUUCUCUUAGAAGGCCCCCUAGCUUCCUGCAAGAACCUUGUGCCCCCAAAAAAAACAAAGGAUUAUAAUUAGGCAUAAGGCUCCCAAUGUUCUUGCAGGAAUUAUGAUGAAUAUGAGAGUUUCAAAAAAGAAAAAAAAAUAUUACGACAACCUCUAGGCGGAGGAAAUCAGUUUUCUAGGAAUUCGUUAGAUUGGUGAAGUUAUAGAACCGCAGCAAUUUGCUGUAGUUUGGAAUGUUUUUGCCUUUCAUUAUAGCAUUUGAAAAGGCUCAAGGAUAUAGAAGAACCUUGGCUACAAAUUCAGGGAAGAUUUCACUUAUAAUGAGAAAUAAUCACCAUUAUUAUAUACAAUGAGAAAACAGUUAUGGAAGAAAUAGAAAGAAUUACCCGAAACGGAGGAUUUGGAAGACAAUGAGACAAAAGUAUAAAGAAGAAGAAAUUGGAGAUAUAAUGACUGCCUAUUUCUUUGAUGAACCCAUCAAAAACGGCUUGAAAAUUAAAGAAAUUGUAAAAUGCUGUAACGGAGGAAUUGAAACUGUAAAAGAUGCAAGUUAAUUCAUGGGGCUGGCCAUCUUGAUUGAUUGAACACCUAUUAGAUUUUUAAUAUUAAAGAACUCACUUUAAUGAUGUUUAAUUGGUAGUAGCCCUUUAUAGUCUUUAAACCUUUAGCAGUGCAAAGUCACAAGCUUUGUCCAGAAUCUAAGGGCGUAAGUUAUAGGCGAUGGGUGCCAUCACCUGGGCAACGACGUACAUCGCUUGGGCGACAAGCCAAUUUACUAGGCUCAUCGCAAACAGCCUUCGUCGCCUGGGCGAUGGCCAAAUCCAUCCAAUAAACUUUCAGCUCAUGUUUGAUAGUCUAAAAAAAGUAGUUAUGGUGGCCAUCACACAUCACAUUUUACUGACAAGCUGUCUUAAUUUUCAUAGAAAAUUGUUCCUACUGAUUUUCCAAUACUGGCCUAAUACUUGCAGAUUAUUAAACGAUUAUGGAAUGGCGGCGAUUUUAGACCAGUAAUUUUGUCAAUAAUUGCUAAUUCGCAAUCCCUUUACAAAUCUAAUAAUCUACUGCAUACACGCUCUUGAUGACUUGGAUUCUCAAAAAAUAACCAUUUUACGCCGCUGAAGCGCAGAAAAAUCAAUUGUUUUAUCCACUUCCAAAUAAAACUUAUUCUAGUAAAUGCGAUAAAGAAAUGUUUAUUUCAAUUUCCAACCCAGAUCUCAUAAAGAAUUUCUCACUCAAAUAAACAAAUAAAUAUCAUCUGGUAAUGGUAUGACAUUUAUUUUGAAGUAAACACUGGCCCACUAUUUUCUCAAUUUUCCAUUGUUUGAGGACACCAUUUUCUCAAUUGAAGAACAUGUUCUGGCCAAAAUUCACAAUUUUCUCCACGUGAUUUAAAGCACACAGGAUUCACACUUUUCUCCACGUGAUUUAAAAGCACACAGAAUUCUCCUGACCUUAAUUACGGAUCUUAUUAUGUUUAUUGAAAUCCAAUAUUGUAGACUCAUUGUUGUAGCUAGAAAAUCAUAUUAAUAGAGUAAAAUUUAUAAAUAAUCAAAGAAAAGAGUUCACGCUCUUACUUCAUUACUUUUAUAAUCUUAUUAGUAUAUCUACUUACAUGUCUUCAGAAAAUACAGUUUUAAGAGGAUAUUUUUAUUUUUCUUCGUAAUAAUAGAUUUAAUUUUCAUCUUUCUAAUGUUAAGUUGCAUAUUUGGAGUAAAUAAUAUUAAAUUUCAAAUUAGAUCACAGACCCCAUUUUAAUAGAUUCAAUUGGAUUUUGGACAUCUAAUUAAACAACUGGACUAAUAAAUUGCAAAUGAAUGAGAUUUAUAUGUGAUUUUAAAAUAAAAUUUGAACUCAAAUCUAUGUAUUUAAUUAAUCCAACAGGACAAAUUUAUAAUUUUCACCAACUAAAUAAAAUAUGUUAUCAGAAACUUUUGGACCAAGUCGCGCACUUCGUGGGUCUGCUACUACUUAUAGUCCAUUCUCAUUCAACUUUCACAUCUUUUAUAUUAUGUACAAAUUGGAUUAUAUUCUAAAACAGUGUUUCUAAUUGUUUAACGUUUUAUUUCUGGGUAUAUUUAGAGAUUAAAAAAUAUGGGAAACAUAAUUAAUUUUAUCAAAUAAAAAGGAGUAUUGUUCAUUUUUUCAUAAACAAUGUGUUAAAAUACUUUUGGUAUUUAAGAAGUAAAAAUUUUUAUUUUUGUUUCAUAAAAAAGCAUUCAAAAUUAUAUUAAAUAAAAUUAAAGAUUAACAAAACUGACAUCUGAAUUUCGUGCAAAUUAUAAUAAGUUUAUCUCCAGCGUGAGUAACAUUAAAGCUUGGCUAGCAUCAUCAUAUUUUAUCUCCAGCAUCAAAAUUCUGAUAACAUCAACAUCAUAAUUCCAAGGUUGUCAAAACUAAUUAUCAAAUUAAAAUCCUUUGUGAUUUAAGCUCUCUUGGACUUUUAAAAAUGUUAUGCCACCCCUUCUUUAAUAAUAGUAGUAUAUGAUUAUGAUUUAAUUAUUUUAUUUUUUUAAUUUAUCAAACACCAAUCACUUAAAUUAAACUCAAGAAAAAAAUUAGAACAUCAAAGAAUUUUAAUUGCUUCUUAUUAAGUACUAGAAUUAACUUCUCCCAAUGAUAAUUUAUUAAGCAAACCAUAAUGAUCAUCUUACACUAAAGAACCAACCCAUCUUCAAAACACAAGAAUUUAGUACAAAUAAUUAUCCCAAUAAAGUUUAACGAAAAAGAAAAGAGAUAUUUUUAUUAUUUCUUUUACUUUCUUAGUGGCUCUGCUACUACCUAUAGUCCAUUCUUAUUCAACAUACAGAUCUUUUAUAUUAUAUGCAAAUUAAAAUAUAUUCUAAAAAGUGUAUCCAACUGGUUAACAUAUUAUUUCUAUAUAAUAAUCAAUUUUAUCAAAUAAAAAGGAGUUUUGGUCAUUCAUUUGGCUCCGUUGCCACUGUUGUACGCUACAAAAGCUUUUGUCUUUGCUGACUCAGUUACUGUAAAAUGUCGUUCAGCCCCUUAUACUCUAUUUUAUUUAUAAGAAUUAUAAAAAUUUCUAAUUACCUACACUUUCAAAAUUCAAUUUAUCUCCUUACAAUCUUUUUCAUUUACUUUUUUUUGUAAGUAUUAAAAAGUUUCUAUUUACAACCACGACAUAGUAAUCAUCAUAACACACGAAUAUUUAUAAAAAUAUAAAAAUAUCACUAAAUUAAUACUAAAAAAUGUUUUCCUCUCUUGAGGAAUUAUGGUAUCUCAUUUUCGAUCACUCAUUAUCAACAAAAUUUUCAAAGAUAUGAUCAUUCAUCUUCUUUAUAAUAUCAUCUUAUAAUAAUUAAUACUUUCAUGAUUAAAAAAAUUAACAAAAUAAAGAUAAAUUCCCUUUGAAUCCAUCCCUCUCUACUAUCAUUUUCUCUUCAUUAGCAACAUUUAUCAAUAAUUGAAGCCACCAUCAGACUCAUCACACAGAGAGAGUGAGAGAGGGGAAGAAGAAACGGGAAAAAAAAAUAUAUGAGACAUUUACAAUUUUAUAGUGUGUUUAUUCAACGAGAUUCAUAUAUAGUUGCUAAGGGGUUUCAUUAGACACAGAGAGUUUAUUACACUGAAACUUUUAAUCCAGUAGUUAAGGCCUCAACAAUCAGAGUUAUUCUUAGCCUAGCAGUACUUAACAAGUGGAUAAUCAGACAAGUGGAUAUUAAUAAUGCCUUAAUGGCAUUUCAGUUGAAGAAGUUUACAUGGCACAACCUGAGGGAUUUGUGGAUCCUACUAAACCCCAACACAUCUGCAAAUUAAAAAGGACUAUAUAUGGCUUGAAGCAAGCUCUCAGGGCUUGGUUUGAUAGAUUCAAAGCUGCAAUGAUUACUCAAUGACAUUUUCAACACUCAAAAUCAGAUAAAAAAUAUCAAAAUAUUUAUAUCAUUAAACUUUUAGGCCUAAUUAACUAAUUAAAGUUCUAAAUUUUUAUUUAGGACAUUAAAAAGACCGGAUAGAUUCUAUUAGCCCAAAAAUUUUAUUUUAAUUUUAAUAUUCAUUAAAUAUUUUAAACUUAAAUCUAUUUUUUAUUUAUUUUUAGAUGUUAGAAUUGCCCACAGCGAAUCACAAUUUUAAUAUCUAAUCUAAUUUAAUCUAAUAUUUGCUCUUGAUUUGCUCUUACUUAACUAUUGUGUUGUAAAGGGAAUAGUCCACAUUUAUAAAGUGCCCACGCCACCCUUGAAAAAGUUAAUUUUGAAUCUAAAUUUGAUUUUAUUUGUAACAAUUUUGUAUUAGACUAUUAAUUUAUUUAUGAUAGUUUGUAAAAGAAGUUUGUAUCCCUUGCAUGCUGCGUUACUUACUAAUUUAAUGUAUGUGACUUUUGUAAUGGAUAUUAAUGCAAGAUAUUUUUCGAACUUUACUUUUAUUUAAAUUUUAUUUUAAUAUGAUUAACUCAAAUCGAAAAUAAAAAAAUGUAUUAAUUAUUCGGGGAUCGGGGACCCUCGGGGAUCCCCUAUUAUUAUUCGGGGAGGAGAUAGAGAUUCUCUUAAGUAAUUCUGACAGGGACGGGAAGGGGAUGAGGACAUACACAAAAUAUUGGGAAUGGUUACGGGGAGAUUGGUCCCCUCCCCUCCCCUCCCCAUUGCCAUCCCUAACUCCCUGACUAAAUAAUUUGGGAAUAUAAGGAUGCAAUAAGAGUUGAGUGGUCUUUAUUCCCAUAGCAUUAUUUUUUUCUCGCUUCAUCCGUGCUCUAUUCAAUCUUUAUGUGCCGCUUGUGUUAUGUUCCUGCAUAUCUAAUUACCUUUAGCUGCUUGUGUUAUGUUUACUUGUUUUGAUCUUAAUCUUUAAUCACUUAGCCUGAAUAAGAAAUAAUUUUUUAUAUUUGCUCUGCAAUGAUGUUAUUCGGUGUUAAUAGCUUCGUUUUGUUACUCUUUUCCGCACAGAUUCUUGAUCUCAACAGAACUUUUAUUUUGAAUAUUCUGCAUAAGGACAAUCUCAUUUAAUACCAUCAGUGAUUUUUCAUUUUUUUUCUCUUUAGUUUUAAUAUGUUUGAUAACUGUAUGGCUAAGCAAUCUAUGCAAUUUUAUCUUGUCGUAUGUUUGAGCUCAUUUUUUGUUGCAAUUCUGAAUAUUUGGUAUGAAUUAUGUGAUACCGGACAAUACUGUUAACUUGUUCAUUUCUUAAUUUUAAUAUCUUGUCAAAGUCACUAAUAGCAUUUCAUCAUGCUAUGAGUUAAACAUGGAACAAAUGACGACAUGCAGUUGUGGAAUGUGGUAGAUCUCUGGAAUUCUAUGUCCUUAUGCUUGUAGGGCAACACAAUACAUUAGUUAAAACAUUAAAGACUAUGAUGUCCGCAGAAAAUUAUAUGUCAACAUAUGCACCAGGCAUGAUGAAAUUAGCCAAAGACAGUGCUUGGAAACAAUUAACUAACUUUUGGCAUUAGGCGUAUCAAGUUCAAUUCGGUAUUUCACAAAACUUAAACUAACUUAUUCCUAAUUAUAGUGGACACAAUUAACUAACUUUGGCAACUGUUCUGAAGAGGAUGACUUCUUCAGGAUGACAUCAACUACCAGCGAUGAUACUAUCAGUAAGCUGCUUCUGCUAUCUAUUAAAUAUUACUGCUAAACGUAAUAUUGACAAUUUGUCUGUGUGCAGGCCUGUGAUAACCACUUGGAUCGGAUAAAGGACUGGGACAUCAACAAUUUGCCCAGAAACCAAUAAGAUAUCAUUGUAAUGUUUAAUUAUACAUGUAUUAGUUUCUCUUUGGAUGGUGCUCUUUGUUAUGCAAAAGUAUGGCGACUAUGUUUCAACCAGUGUAUCUAUUAUAUACACUAACUAUGAAUUACUAGAAAUUUUAUUACAUUAAUCAUUUUUAGAUAGCCACUCAUCUCAAACGAAACAAACUGGUCAGAGACACUUGACCCAACAUGCUUGUGAUCGACCUUAGAAUAAAUUUUUCUCACUCAAUAUAGACAACUUCUGUGAGGUUAAUAUUUCUUCAAAUGUCAAGAAAAGCAUUGGCCACAUAAAUGCAUACACAUGUUUUUGUUGGGAAGUUAAGCAGACGGGAACAACAUUGGACUAUAUACUCAUACACCAAACUUUAAUAAACUAAUAAAUAUAAUUUAAUAAUAAUUUAUUUCUCCUCGCUUAUGUGAGAAAAAGUCAAACCACAUAACGUAUUUAUAUUUUGUUAAGAAAUUUUACUGAUUGAACUAAUUAACACUAAUUUCUUAUCUCUCUUAACCAACGGAUAUUUUGAAGAUAGUUUUUUAUUUUCUAUAUUUUAUGUACUAAAUGAUUUUAAACCUCUAUCACGUCAUGAAUAAAUUGGAGUUUAGGUUGCUUAAAAUAAUAAUAAUAAUAAUAAUAAUAAUAAUAAUAAUAAUAAUUAAUAAAUGUAUUGAUGGAUUUCAUAAUCAUCCCACUUAGGGGUGGGCACGGUUCGGUUCGGUUCGAAAUUAAGUAGAACCGAUUUAAAUCGGUUAUUUUAUAAAAAGAACCGAAUAAGAACCAAACUCAAUAAGAACCAAACUCAAUAAGAACCGAACUCAAACGGUUCUUUUCGGAUCGGUUCGGUUCGGUUCGGUUUUUUCGGUUCUGGGUCUAUUGGGCCUAUUUUGAAUUUUUAAAUUUUUAGCCCAUUGGGCCUCAUAAAUGUAAUAAUUUUUUUCAACAAUUAAUUUAUCCUAAUUUUAUUACAAAUAUUAACAAUAAAUACAAAGUAUUCAAAACACAUUUUAUCACUAAUAUCUUACUAAUUAUUAAUAAGAUACUCCCAAAAUAUGAAAUAUUAAAAUUUCAAAAUACAUAACCAAACUCCAAUACUCCAUCUAUAUAAACAUAAUCAUAAUGUUAUAAAGAGAAAUAACACAUGUUUGAUUUGAAUAAAAUCAUGUUUGAUUUGAAUAAAAUUAUUAACACAUGUUUGAUUUGAAUAAAAUAAAAAAAUAAUUCGGUUCUUCGGUUCGGUUUUUUGGUUCAGCUAAGUGAACCGAAUACCGAACCGACAUUUCAGUUUUUUUUACAAACGGUAUAUUCGGUUUUUUUAAAAAAUAAAAACCGAACCGAAUUAAAAAAAACCGUCGGUUCGGUUUUUUUUAACAUUACGGUUUUUUUGCCCACCCCUAAUCUCACUCCUACGCCUCAAGACAAACAAGCUCACACUUCACGGAUCAGUCAAAGGAUCGGCUUUCAAGUCGUUGAAUUCACGGUGGUCAAACUAACGGAAAAACUAACGUGACGUCAAUCAGAUACGGUUUAUAAUAUAUGUAUCCUCAAUCAACGCAAAAAGUUUGAUCUGAAAAACCCUCUGCCUAAAACGCGUUUUCAGAAACGCGGUUUUGUUUUUCAAGUGGUUCCCAGAGCAUCCAUGCCAUGCUCUGUAUCAAUCAUUUCGUGCAUGUUUGGAGUUUGGCACGGCCAUUUUUACUGACUUUGUUAAGAAGUACUUAGAAGCUCAUUAGGAAAUGAUAACAAACGAAGCCUUGCGCUUUUACAUGUUACAUGCAUUAUUGGUAAGACGGUUGAUGAGUUACGUUAUAUGAACCCACAAUUAGUCGCCCAAUAGCCACCAUAUAUUAAAUAAUCAGUCAAAUUUUGAAUUGGGUAGUUAACUAAUUUCGAAUUACCGUAAGUCAUAAAUAAUGCAGGUUAGUAAGACCCGAGCCUAGGCAAAUUAAGGUCGUUAUCGCCUCUAAAUCAAGGCUGCAUAACCCAAAGUUAAGGGCACAUGUUCGAGUCCCAACUCCACAGUGUUGGAACUCUAUUAUAGUAUUAUUCCCUUUCACAUUAAAAGGAUAGGAUGGUUAUUUCUCUUACAUAUGUAGAUAGAUCAAAUAUAUCUUCUAAAUAAUAAUAGAUUUAUCAUUUUAAAGAGUUGUUUUAGAUAUGUGGAUAGAUCAAAUAAUAGACACCCUUUCCAUGAAAGGAGACUCAUUGAUUAUUGUUAAAAAAAAAAUUCGUUGAUGUUAUUAGAGAACUUGCAAUUUUUUUAUAACACUAAAUUUUUUAAUUUUUUAAGAUUUUUCUAUGAAUAGCAUGAAUUUUUUAUAGCAUUGGUAAUGAGGAUAUUAUGGACCUUUAGAUUUAAAUAUUUUAAUCUUCGCCAUUCAUUCAAUUUAGUGGAUAAAUAACUAAUUACUUAAUUUUUCAAGUUGCAUGUAGUAUAUAAGUUUAUGUAUGUAAUUCUAUUUUUAAUAAAUAAAUAAAUAAAUUUUAAAUCACUAACAAAAAAAAAUGCAAAUAUGUAUGUUAGUUUAGACGUGUACAUAAUAGAUAUGAAUUGAUAUUAUUUAAUUAUUGCACAAGACAUGCUAAUAAUGAUCUCUUUUGUCAAUAAUAAUCAGGAGAAUAAAAUGUUAAUUUCUUGAUUUUACUGGAUGGCUAAGAUCGAGUUAAGUCAAUUUUCGUUAUAUUUGUUAAUCUAAUAAUAUGUUGGCGAAAAAGAGGGAAUAUGAUUACAAACUAAGAUUGAGUUAAUUUUUUUAAUUCAGUCUUUAAAAAAUUGUACAACUGGUUUGAUAAUUGGUUAAUGAAAUUUUAAAUAACUAAAAUCAAGAUAUUAUUUUAACUAUAACUUCUAAUUUUGUACCAAACGUUGAUGAUCUUGAUGGGCGCAGAGGAUAGUUGGGUACGGUGCUGUAGUGGGCAACUAUGAGGAUAAAGUGAUGGUGACUGGAAUUGACAUAGGGGUAUACUUGGAUGAUGUUGAUUAUAGUGCGGCUGAGGCUUUAUGCUUUAGCUUAGAGUUGCUUAUCAAGAAUCUAUUAAUAACACAUUAUACUCAUACACCAAAGUUUAAUCUGAAUGAAUCAAGUAAUUCUAUGUUAAUAAAAGUUUUUAGACUUACGAUGAGGGUCUAGUUUAUAUAAAUGCAAAUAACACUGAAAUCUAAUAAUCCUUUACAAAUAAAUAUGAUUUAUUCAAUUAUCGCAAACAAUUGUUUUAUCAGAGUUAAUUACAUUAUUGCUAAACUUGUAUAAGCUUUCCUGUUUCAAGCAUAUCUACUUAAUUACAUUAUUCAUCGACAAUGUUACUUUGCUAGUAGAAGUUUUAUGUUUUCAUACCUUAAUCACUAUUUAACGCUUCGUUUUCCAAUAGUUCUAAUUCUUCAAAUUUUGGUUUUAUUCUUCCAUAAUUAUAAAUUGAUACUGAUUCGCACGACUCAAAUUAAAGUGGUUAAUUACUCUAAAAGUAUAAAUUUGGCAGUCAAUAAUUACUUAAAAAUAAUUGCAAAAAAAUUAAUAAGGAAUAGUAUAAAUUUAAAAACCGCUAAAGUUACGAGAUCCAUGCUUGAUAUUUAAAUCAUGGUCAUAAUACUCUUUCUCUCUCUCUCUCUCUCUCACACACACACACACAUAUAUAUAUAACCACUUUCAAUAUUAUGUUACUUAGUUCUUAAUUAACCGCUCUAUAAAUAAAUAUGAGAAUUAAGUACAUAUUAUGCUACAACCUUAUUGGAGUGUUCCCACUACCAUAUUAGUAGUCAACAUUAGGUCUAAACACCCACAUAAUAUUUUUGGUGAACUUGCAACCACAACCUUUAAAUUAGGGGUGGGCACGGUUCGGUUCGGUUCGAAAUUAAGUAGAACCGAUUUAAAUCGGUUAUUUUAUAAAAAGAACCGAAUAAGAACCAAACUCAAUAAGAACCGAACUCAAACGGUUCUUUUCGGAUCGGUUCGGUUCGGUUCGGUUUUUUCGGUUCUGGGUCUAUUGGGCCUAUUUUGAAUUUUUAAAUUUUUAGCCCAUUGGGCCUCAUAAAUGUAAUAAUUUUUUUCAACAAUUAAUUUAUCCUAAUUUUAUUACAAAUAUUAACAAUAAAUACAAAGUAUUCAAAACACAUUUUAUCACUAAUAUCUUACUAAUUAUUAAUAAGAUACUCCCAAAAUAUGAAAUAUUAAAAUUUCAAAAUACAUAACCAAACUCCAAUACUCCAUCUAUAUAAACAUAAUCAUAAUGUUAUAAAGAGAAAUAACACAUGUUUGAUUUGAAUAAAAUCAUGUUUGAUUUGAAUAAAAUUAUUAACACAUGUUUGAUUUGAAUAAAAUAAAAAAAUAAUUCGGUUCUUCGGUUCGGUUUUUUGGUUCAGCUAAGUGAACCGAAUACCGAACCGACAUUUCAGUUUUUUUUACAAACGGUAUAUUCGGUUUUUUUAAAAAAUAAAAACCGAACCGAAUUAAAAAAAACCGUCGGUUCGGUUUUUUUAACAUUACGGUUUUUUUGCCCACCCCUAAUCUCACUCCUACGCCUCAAGACAAACAAGCUCACACUUCACGGAUCAGUCAAAGGAUCGGCUUUCAAGUCGUUGAAUUCACGGUGGUCAAACUAACGGAAAAACUAACGUGACGUCAAUCAGAUACGGUUUAUAAUAUAUGUAUCCUCAAUCAACGCAAAAAGUUUGAUCUGAAAAACCCUCUGCCUAAAACGCGUUUUCAGAAACGCGGUUUUGUUUUUCAAGUGGUUCCCAGAGCAUCCAUGCCAUGCUCUGUAUCAAUCAUUUCGUGCAUGUUUGGAGUUUGGCACGGCCAUUUUUACUGACUUUGUUAAGAAGUACUUAGAAGCUCAUUAGGAAAUGAUAACAAACGAAGCCUUGCGCUUUUACAUGUUACAUGCAUUAUUGGUAAGACGGUUGAUGAGUUACGUUAUAUGAACCCACAAUUAGUCGCCCAAUAGCCACCAUAUAUUAAAUAAUCAGUCAAAUUUUGAAUUGGGUAGUUAACUAAUUUCGAAUUACCGUAAGUCAUAAAUAAUGCAGGUUAGUAAGACCCGAGCCUAGGCAAAUUAAGGUCGUUAUCGCCUCUAAAUCAAGGCUGCAUAACCCAAAGUUAAGGGCACAUGUUCGAGUCCCAACUCCACAGUGUUGGAACUCUAUUAUAGUAUUAUUCCCUUUCACAUUAAAAGGAUAGGAUGGUUAUUUCUCUUACAUAUGUAGAUAGAUCAAAUAUAUCUUCUAAAUAAUAAUAGAUUUAUCAUUUUAAAGAGUUGUUUUAGAUAUGUGGAUAGAUCAAAUAAUAGACACCCUUUCCAUGAAAGGAGACUCAUUGAUUAUUGUUAAAAAAAAAAUUCGUUGAUGUUAUUAGAGAACUUGCAAUUUUUUUAUAACACUAAAUUUUUUAAUUUUUUAAGAUUUUUCUAUGAAUAGCAUGAAUUUUUUAUAGCAUUGGUAAUGAGGAUAUUAUGGACCUUUAGAUUUAAAUAUUUUAAUCUUCGCCAUUCAUUCAAUUUAGUGGAUAAAUAACUAAUUACUUAAUUUUUCAAGUUGCAUGUAGUAUAUAAGUUUAUGUAUGUAAUUCUAUUUUUAAUAAUGACAAUUGAUUGUGUUAGCAUUUUGGUCAAAAAGGUGGACCCCCCCAAAAACAAACAAAAAAAAUUUAUGAUAAUAAUUAACAUUGAUAAAUAAAAAUAUUAAUAAUGGGUGUGUUAGCAUUUUGGUCCAAAGCCGAUUUGGCCUUGACAUUAAUUGGAAUUUUGGAUCUAUAAUAUGAUUUUCACCGAAAAGAUAAUUUUGCCGCUAAUUAUUUGGGUAGUCAGAUAAUAAUAACAAAAAAAUGUUAUCUCGAUCUCACCUAUAACUUGAGGAGAUAAUAAUGAUAGUCUUUCAUAAUACUCUACUGUUUAGUUUCUCUUCUUCAUUUUUUUCCCCUUUGAAGUCUUUCAACAAAAAUGGGUGGCAUCAUCUCAACCUUCUUCUCAGCGGACACAAUUCGUCCAAUUUUAUUUUACGUCGGUGGACGAGCAAAGUAUAUAUGGGGUCUUAAAGGUAAUCUCGAUGACUUGCAAACUGAAACGGAGAACUUGAUUGCGAAAAAACUAGAUCUACUGAAUAAGGUUAGGCUUGCCGAACAACAACAGCCUCGUGCCCAACGGACGAGCACGGUGAAACUCUGGUUCGAAAGGGUGGAUCGAAGUGUAACUCUUGUUGAGGGGCUGCAACAAGAAAGAGAUCAAGAGAUUGACAGAUUGUGUCUUGGAGGCUUCUGUUCCAAGGACUUGAUUUCAAGCUACGACUUCGGCAAAAAGGUGGAGAAGUUGAAGGAAGAAGUAAUCAAAUUGAGGGAAAAAGGAGAAGCAAUGAAAGAAGUUUAUGAGGGGUUACCAGAAGGUGCAGCGGUUGCAAUAGCUGUUGACCGAACAAUUGUUGGUCAAGAAUCAAUACUUGACCAAGUUUGGAGAUGCAUCACUGAUCAAAAAAAGAAUAAUGGAAUUAUUGGCUUAUAUGGUAUGGGGGGCAUCGGCAAAACUACUCUGUUAAAACAAGUCAAUAACAAAUUCUGCAGUGAGGAGCAUGAUUUUGAUGUCGUUAUCUGGUCGGUUGUAUCUAGAGAGCCAAACUUGAAGCAGAUUCAAGAGGAUAUUGGGAAAAGGAUAGGCUUCUCAACAGAUUCAUGGCAGAGAAAAAGGUUUGAAGAAAGGGCUUCAGACAUCACCAACACUUUAAAGCAUAAGAAGUUUGUAUUGUUAUUGGAUGAUAUAUGGGAGUCCGAAAUUGAUUUAACCAAAUUGGGCGUCCCUCUUCAGACACUAGAUUCUGGGUCCAGAAUAGUCUUCACAACUCGUUUUGAGGGUACUUGUGGUAAAAUGGGAGCCCAUAAGAAUCGGUACAAAGUGUUUUGUUUGGGAGAUGACGAUGCCUGGAAAUUAUUUGAGGGGGUGGUCGGGAGAUACGUUCUUAACAAGCAUCCCGACAUUCCGAAGUUAGCCGAGGAUGUGGCACGUCAGUGUCAUGGUUUGCCGCUAGCACUCAAAACAGUAGGUAAUGCCAUGGCGAGCAAAGUGUACCCUGAAGAAUGGAAAGAAGCAAUUGAGAUCCUAAGCGCAUCAGCUUCUAAAUUCGAAGAUAUGGAGAAAAAGGUGCUUUCGAGCUUAAAGUUCAGCUAUGAUAGUUUGCCGAAAGAUGAACUUCGAUCUUGUCUCCUGUACUGUUGCUUAUUUCCCGAAGACUCUGAAAUUCUAAAAACCGAGUUGAUAGAGUAUUGGAAAAGUGAAGGAUUUGUGCAUUCUAGCAGCGGGUGGGGGGUUCUUGGUGCUCUCGUUCGUGCAUGCUUAUUGGAGGAAGCAGGUGAUCGUGUAAAAAUGCACGAUAUGAUCCGUGACAUGGCAUUAUGGAUAGCAAAUGAAGUAGAGGAGGAGGAGGAGAACUUUUUGGUUCGUGCAGGAGUUGGAUUAACUGACGCCCCAAAGAUUGAAGAAUGGGAAGGGGUCAAAAGGAUAUCCUUGAUGCAGAACAAAAUUCAAAGUCUACCACAAAUUCCCUCUUGUCCGCGUCUGCAAACAUUGCUUCUGGCGAGUAAUCGUAUUAAGGAGAUCACUGAGAGUUUCUUUCAAUCUUUGCCUUCACUUAGAGUUUUGAGUCUAAGAAGAAAUCGUUCCCUGACUGAACUUCCUGUGGGGAUUUCAAGUCUGGUUUCAUUACACCAUCUUGAUAUGUCUUCUACUAAAGUACGUGGAUUGCCGCAAGAGCUCAAGGCAUUGGUGAAUCUGAGAUAUUUGAACUUGGAGUAUACACGUGGAAUGUCUAGAAUUCCACAGCAAUUAAUAUCAAGCUUUUCAAAGUUACAGGUACUCAGGAUGCUGCGUUGCGGUCGACGUUACCAGCCAAUAGUGGAAGAAGGCAACGUUCUAUCUGCUGAUGCUGAAUCAUUGAUGAAGGAAAUCCACUGUUUGGAACAAUUAAAUCUCAUCACCUUGUCCUUACAUGGUUCGCGUGGUGUUGAAAACUUUCUGAAAUUCCCAAAGCUGCAGAAUAUCACUCAAGCUCUGUCCAUCGAAGACUGCAACAGUCUACCGCUCAAUUUGUUACAUCUAGCAAACAUGGAGCAUCUUGAGGAGUUAUAUAUCGAGGAUAGUAAUUUGGAAGACUGGAAUGUCGACUGCGCGGGAGAGGUACAAAAAAUGCGUAAACUUCACUCGGUUCUCAUACGGAAUUGCUCAAAUGUGAAGGACUUGACGUGGCUUGUUUUUGUUCCAAAUCUCAAGUGGCUGCGAAUAGUUGGUUGUGAUGACAUGGAAGAAAUAAUCAGUGUUGAAAAAUUUGAAAAAUUGAGUGAAGUUUCAGAGAUGAUGGGAGAGCUUAACUUGUUCUCAGAACUCGAACUUCUGGUAAUAAGAAAUGCAAGUAAUUUGGAGCGCAUCUACCGCGAUCCCUUGCCCUUUCCACAGCUGAACCGAAUUAGCAUAUUGAAAUGCCCAAAGUUGAAGAAGCUCCCACUCAAUUCCAGCAGCGCAAAGGGACGUAAAAUUGCCCUUGCGGGACAGAAAGAAUGGUGGGAAGAGCUACAAUGGGAGGAUCAAGCCACUCAAAAUGCUUUCUCUCCCUGUUUCCGACCUAUUGAAGAAUAAAGUGCGAUAAGGCACAAAAGUGUGAAUAAAAUUUCUGCGCGUGCUUAAUGAUUAUCUUGUCUAUCUAUUUCAUUUAAUUUAAAAGUUUUCUACGGAGUUGCAUGUGUGUCACUUGUCAUUCUUCUGUACUGCUGUUUCCUAUUUCCAGUUAAUAAAAUUUUUUUGUUCUUAGAGUUAGAAAUGCUUUACUUGUAAGGGAGAUUCACAAUUUUCCCAUAUUAUGAUUAAUAUAUUCUUUUUACUUUCCUACUAUUUUGCAUAAUUUUUUAAUAUUAUUUUUAUUUCUAAAUAUAUUUUUAUUCAUAUUUAUUAUAAAUUAAAUAAAUGUAUGAAUAGAAAUAAAAAUAAAAAUAAAAAUUAAGUAUUAAAACAAGAAAUAUAUAUUAUGAUUUGAAUAAAAAAUAAAUAUUUUUUUGUACUUAGAAUGCCAUUUGUCGUGAGCACCUGAAUCCCCAAAGGACUCCCAGCUUCAAGUGGCUUUGACUUAGCUUGCUUUAGCUCCAUUGCACAUACUCACUCACAUGGAGGAAAUGAACAGAACAAGAAACCUCAUCAUGCCGAAUAUGAUAGAUAUGACAAGGCAUUACAUUGUAGGAAGCUCCCGAUUUCUCUAAAAAACUCUGCAGGUUCUCCGCAAUCAAGGCGUGCUCCAUCUUUAACAGAUCACUUCUACCAUUAAGAGAAGGAAGAGAGUUCCUCUCGUGUGACAGUAAAUCCUUACUUAACACAGGAUUGGAGCCAACCAAGAAGGGAAGGCAAUUUCGUUAGAUUAAGAAUCGAAUCACCAUCCAAUAUAGUAGCAUUUGAACCAGAACUCUUGUUAAAUUCUUGAAAUCUCCUGCUUUCAUCAGUCUGUAAGAGAAAUGAAGAUGAGAAUAAUAGCCAGAACCGGAUUAAAUUCAAUCUGGUCUUUUGAAGACUUCUAUAACAACUAAGAGAACCCAGUGUACCGCCUACAGAUACUGUCAGGCUUCUAUCAAAUAUCCCAAACACCAAAAACCAACCAAAUUAAGCUAACAAACCUGCAUGAAUAUCUAAAUUUCAAUGCAUAUGAAACAAACUCCAUGUUCAAUCCACCAAAACUAGCAAAUUUCAAACUUUAUCACUCAUCAUUCUCUCUCUGUCAGCUGUACGAGGCUAUGAGAUCAUGUUAUAAUGUUCAUAUUGAUGCUGAAUGUUUUGCCAGCUUGUCUGAAUUCCAUAAGAGAAUGCAAUGUGCACAUUAUUGUGCCUUGCCCACCAGUAGAUUCUAAACCACAAAAUCAUUCUGUGAAGUAGCUGACGUUUCGCACAUUCUUAUCCCUUACCAUCAAUAUUCUUCUCCUCAAGCUUAGAUCAUGGAAAUUUGAGUGAUAACACGAUCUAAACUUUAGGGGCAUAAAGUAACAUAGAAGCAACAUGGGAUGUUUUAAAAUCUAUUAUAAUUUGCUUAGGCCCCUGAAUAAAAUUAAAACUUGAAAUGAAAUAAAGUAGCAAAAUAAAGAUUGGAGGUCGCAUGCUUGAUAUUUGAUGCUGUCAAAAUUAAUUUGCAGUGCUGAAAUUGCUGCUCCAAUAAAUUUUUCAAUGGGAUUUCCAUAUUUACAACAAAUUUUCAGUAUUGAAACAGGAUUAAAAUCAUAAAGUGUCUUUUAAACAGCAGAGGCAACAAGAUCCUACAGAAAAAGAAGGCAAAAAGUAGUUACAAGCUACAGAAACGCAAAUAUUCUACUGGCCAACUCCCACUAAAUUCGAAGCGAUUCUAAAAUCUCAGCUUGUACUACUACAUCAUUCCUUCUAUGUAGCCCAACUGUACUUCACCCAGAAAUCACAUUUCUUCAUCAGAGAUAAUUUUACAUCAUUCCUUAUCAUUAGGCAUAAGGCUCCCAAUGUUCUUGGAGGAAUUAUGAUGAAUAUGAGGGUUUCAAAAAAGAAAAAAAAAUAUUAUGACAACCUCUAGGCGGAGGAAAUCAGUUUUCUAGGAAUUCGUUAGAUUGGUGAAGUUAUAGAACCUUAGCAAUUUGCUGUAGUUUGGAAUGUUUUUGCCUUUCAUUAUAGCAUUUGCAAAGGCUCAAGGAUAUAGAAGAACCUUGGCUACAAAUUCAGGGAAGAUUUCACUUAUAAUGAGAAAUAAUCACCAUUAUUCUAUACAAUGAGAAAACAGUUAUGGAAGAAAUAGAAAGAAUUACCCGAAACGAAGGAUUUGGAAGACAAUGAGACAAAAGUAUAAAGAAGAAGAAAUUGGAGAUAUAAUGGCUGCCAAUUUCUUUGAUGAACCCAUCAAAAACGGCUUGAAAAUUAAAGAAAUUGUCAAAUGCUGUAACGGAGGAAUUGAAACUGUAAAAGAUGCAAGUUAAUUCAUGGGGCUGGCCAUCUUGAUUGAUUGAACACCUACACGUGACAAGUGUGCGAUAAUCGUUAUAUCUUCAAUUUUAGGCAGUUUUUCAUUUCUUUUAUUUUAAUAGUAAAAAAAUACGCCAUUUUAGAUACAAAUGCCCCUGACUAGCCCUUUUGUAAGUUACAUUGUUUGGUGCGAUAGUCCCGCACGUGCUUGACAUUUGCCGAAUAUCUUAUGCGCAUUUUUUUUCCCCUCUAACUCAUUGUGUAUGCUCAUCUUUAUGUGCGUUAUUACCUAAACUUAUAUACCAAUCAAAAUAAAUCAUAAAGUAUCAAACGCUUUUAAAUGAUUUUUAAUAUUAAAGAACUCACUUUAAUGAUGUUUAAUUGGUAGUAGCCCUUUAUAGUCUUUAAACCUUUAGCAGUGCAAAGUCACAAGCUUUGUCCAGAAUCUAAUGGCGUAGAUUAUAGGCGAUGGGUGCCAUCACCUGGGCAACGACGUACAUCGCUUGGGCGACAAGCCAAUUUACUAGGCUCAUCGCAAACAGCCUUCGUCGCCUGGGCGAUGGCCAAAUCCAUCCAAUAAACUUUCAGCUCAUGUUUGAUAGCCUAAAAAAAGUAGUUAUGGUGACCAUCACACAUCACAUUUUACUGACAAGGUGUCUUAAUUUUCAUAGAAAAUUGUUCCUACUGAUUUUCCAAUCCUGGCCUAAUACUUGCAGAUUAUUAAACGAUUAUGGAAUGGCAGCAAACCGGCGCCGCGGAGGGGGGCCGGCCCGGGGUUGUUGUGCUGAUUUGGGAGGGGUAAUAAACCCUCUGAGGCAAUUUAGCAAACAUAUUAUGUGCCAUGAUUUUAGACCAGUAAUUUUGUCAAUAAUAGCUAAUUCGCAAUCCCAUUACAAAUCUAAUAAUCUAUUGCAUACACGCUCUUGAUGACUUGGAUUCUCAAAAAAUAAUCAUUUUACGCCGCUGAGGCGCAGAAAAAUCAAUUGUGUUGUCCCUUUAUACUUUUUCAUUUGUUUUGCCCACGUCCAAAUAAAACAGAUUCUGGUAAAUGUGAUAAGGAAAUGUUUGUUUCAAUUUCCAACCCAUAUCUCAUAAAGAAUUUCUCACUCAAAUAAAUAAAUAUUAUCCGGUAAUGGUAUGACAUUUAUUUUGAAGUAAACACCGGCACGCCAUUUUCUCAUUUUUUUCAUUUUUUGAGGACACCAUUUUCUCAAUUGAAGAAUAUAUUUUGGCCAAAAUUCACAAUGUUCUCCACAUGAUUUAAAGCACACAGAAUUCACACUUGUCUCCACAUGAUUUAAAAGCACAAGGAAUUCUCUUGACCUUAAUUACGAAUCUUUUUAUGUUUAUUGAAAUCCAAUAUUGUUGACUCAUUGGUGUAGCCAGAAAAUCAUAUUAAUAUAGUAGAAUUUAUAAAUAACCAAAGAAAAAAGUUCACGCUCUUACUUUAUUACUUUUAUAAUUUUAUUAGUACAUCUACUAACAUGUCUUCAUAAAAUAUAGUUUUAAGAGGAUAUUUUUAUGGUUGUAGAUAUUUUUAUUUUUCUUCUUAAUAAUAGAUUUAAUUUUCAUCUUUCUAAUGUUAAGUUGCACAUUUGGACUAAAUCAGAUUAAAUUUCAAAUUAGAUGACAGGCCUUAUUUUAAUAGAUUCAAUUGGAUUUUGGACAUCUAAUUAAACAACUGGAUUAAUAAAUUGCAAAUGAAUGAGAUUUAUAUGUGAUUUUAAAAUAAAAUUUGAACUUAAAUCUAUGUAUUCAAUUAAUCCAACAAGACAAAUUUAUAAUUUCUACCACCUAAAUAAAAUAUGUUAUCAGAAACUUUUGGACCAAGUAGGGGCAGUUCAUCACUUCGUCGGCCUGCUACUACUUAUACUCCUUUCUCAUUCAACUUUCACAUCUUUUAUAUUAUAUACAAACUAGAUUUGUCAUGCAAGUAUUUGACAGAAGAAAUCUCAUUGGAAAUCGGACAACUUCAAGAAAUUCAUUUAUUGAAUUUGUCACAUAAUUGCUUGUCGGUUUAUAAACCAAAAAGGUAUUCCAAAUUAAAAGUGGUAGAGAGCCUAGACUUUUCUUACAACAGAUUAAGUGGUAGAAUUCCUCCUUAAUAGACUGAGCUCAAUUUUUUGAUCUGUCUUCAAGACGUCAUACAACAACUUGUCCAACCUGAUACCAAACAAAGAGCAGUUUGCCACAUUCAAUGAAGGCAGUUAUGGAGGAAAUCUGCAUCUUUGUGGUCCAACAGUUAAUAAGAGUUGCAACAAUGCGGAGGAAAUACCAGCAAUAGAAUCCAAUCGAGGAGAAGAUGAAGAUGAAUGUGCAAUUGAUAUGGUGUCAUUCAGUUGGAGUUUCGGUUCAUCAUAUGUCACAUUCAUCAUGGGGUUUUUCGCGAUACUUUGGAUAAACUCAUACUGGCGCAGAAUGUGGAUCUAUUACAAUCAUGUAUUCACUAGGCCAUACGCGUGAUGUGCUUUUCUGCUAAAACUAGUUCACAAAUGUGAUUUCAUUAAAAUUAGUCUAUACACAUCUUUCCCUUGGCUUUUGUUGGCUCCAACUCCGGACUUUUAUUCAUAUCAUUACUUUAUGUAGUUUCCCCAAAAGGCUUGUGAUGAUUAAUGCAGUUUAUAAAUUAUUACUACUACAAUAAUGAUAUAAUAAAUAAUUUUUUUUAAGUUGUAAAAGUGAGAAAUACUAAAGAGAUCUUUAUUACAUCAUUAAUGUUCGAUCAAGAAUUUCCUCAUCCGAGCUUGCAGUCUGUGGAGGAGACUGUAUCAAUGUCGAAAUUCUCCGGACCGGCACUAUUUGCUGUUUCUCCAUUGAAUAGUGCGUCUUACUACAACAAGGUGAAACACAGCCCAGUGUUCUGAUUGGGCCCAAUGCGAAAAACAUAAAACCCAAAUUUUUGUUGACUUUGGGCCUGCUCAAAUACCAUGCCCAAUUGUGUCUAGUUGUAACAAAAGCGGCGAGAUGUUCAUGCCCAAACCCGCAAGAUUGUUUUAAUAUUUAAAAUUUAACAUGAUUCUAGAAUUUUUGUUAAUAAAAAAUAAACCACCAAGAUUCUAGUGAAUAACAAAUGUAUACAUAUACACGUGCUGUGUAGACCGGGCCAAUUCUUGUGGAAUUCUCCAACAACCAUCCUGAUUCUUGAAUUGCCGCGAAAAUUCCGCAAGCGAUGAACCCUCUCUUACGCACCACUCAUUCUCUAUCACAAUGAUCAAAAUAAAGACGAGGACGGAGACUAUUAAUCACUGAGAGUGAUUUUCUCAAUAUUUGUCAAUCACUACUAAGAUUCAUUGUCAAUCAAUAAUAUCAAUUGACACAAAGAUUGAUUGUCUUUUUUUUUUUUUCGAGAAUAUCAGUGCUUGAAUACAUUAUUUGAUAUAUAUAAUUCAAUGUAAACUCAAUCAUACUCUUAAAUUAUUUUUAUAAAUUCUCAAUAUCAGUCUUUGAUUUUAAUUCGAGUUUUGAUUCAAAUUAAUGCAAGGAUACAAAAGGACUCAAGAGCUUCAUAUAUCAAUUCUAUGUUAUUAACUUAUUAUUUCGGUGUACACCACAAAUUUAUGAGUAAUUUAUUAAAAUGUCUAAACAUAUAUGAAAAAUAGUUGAUUAUUGAUUUUCACAAAUUUCAAUAUAUCAAACAUCCUAUCGAGUUAUUAAUUCCAAAGCACAUUAUUUAAGAAUCAAUGCUAGAAUAAAUUAUUUGAUAAUUUCAAACCCAAAUUUACGCUUAAAUUCUUUAAAUUAUCUCAAUCAACUUUUUUUUUUCUUAGCUGACCAUCUAUAUCAGCUAUUGGAAAAAAAAAUAGAAUUGACGACUACUUGUAUGUUGGCCUAAUUUGAAAGUCAAUCAACAUUUAUUUUCCAUGUAAUGUUAAUGAAGCAUUUCCCUCAUUGGUCCAACAUUGCAACAUGUGGAAUUUCAGGCUUACAAUUCCUCAUUAGUCAUUACAGAUACCGAAAUUGAUUGUCAGACAAUAUUGUCAUUUCAAUAUAUGCCACAAUUUUAUGAGUAAUUUACUAAAAUCUUUAAAUAUAUAAAAUUUGCAUGUGUGUAAUAAACCUGUAUUUAUAUAUAAAAUUUGCAUAUUUAAAUUGCACCUCUCCAUGCAUCAUAUAAAAUGUCAUUUCAAUGUGAUCCACACUUUUAUGAGUUAAUAACUAAAUAUUGUCACUAAAUUUUUCCUAAUUGUUGCAUGCAUUAGAUUUUUUUACGAAAAAAAAAACAUGCUACAUUAAGUGUAAAACAAUUGAGGAAAAGAUUAGAGAACACAAUGAGAAAAGAAAUUUUUUAUACAACCUUUUCAUCAAUAAAAAUCAUAUUCAUACUAAUCAAUUCUUCAUUCCUCUUGGUAUUAACAGACUCUCACAUCCUACAAAAUCUAACCCUUAUCAUCCAACUAUCUUUAUCAUUAUUUAACUCAUGAAGAAAAGAGUACUCCAUGAAGCACACAAUACUAAAAAUUCAAAUAAGUCAAAAAUAAAAAUGCAAGAAUAUUUCUAAGGAGGAUGUUGGUUAAAUAAUAAAAAACCCAAACAUAACAAAUCUUAAAUACUUAAUGUUUAUAGACUUUGAAGAAGUCAAAAGACAUUAAACAAAAUGUUGCAUAAUUAAAUAUGGAAUUAUGACAUUAAAAUUAGGCCCUAAUGGCAUUGGUGAGUGAAGAUGAAGGAACCUUCCUUCCUAUAUUAAUUAGUUGAUGUAUUUUAAGUCACUAAAGUUUAGUUGUUGGCUUAAUAAAAUAAAUGAAUGUUUCAAGACUUAUAAUUAAUUAUUAUUAAUGGUUGCAUAUUAUUGAAUUUAAAUAGAAAGAGGAAGAGACAUGUAAUUUUUUGUAAUCUAAUAAUUAUUUUCUAUUUUGUAAUGUAAUUAUUUUUUAAUCUCAACCAAUAUAUUAGAUAAUAGAGAAUAUAAAAAGAUAAGAAAUAAUGAUGUCACAAAUCUUAAAUACUUAAUGUUUACAGAGUUUGAAGAAGCGAAAAUGCACUAAACAUAAGGUUGCAUAAUUAAAUAUAGGAUUAUGGUAUUAAAAUUAGGCUCUAAUGGCAUUGUUGAGGGAAGAUGAAAGAAACUUUCUUCCUAUAUUAAUUAAUUGAUGUAUUUUAAGCCACUAAAGUUUAAUUGUUGGCAUAAUAAAAUAAAUGAAUGUUUUAAGACUUAUAAUUAAUUAUUAUUAAUGGUUACAUAUUAUUGAAUUUAAAUAGAAAGAGGAAGAGACAUGUAAUCUUUUGUAAUCUAAUAUUUAUUUUCUAUUUUUAAUAUUUUGUAAUGUAAUUAUUUUUUAAUCUCAACCAAUAUAUUAGAUAAUAGAGAAUAUAAGAAUAUGAGAAAUAAUGAUGUCACAUCACCUCUUGUAGUCCCAACUCUCUCUCUCUCUCUCUCUCUCUCUCUCUCUCUCUCUCUCUAUAUAUAUAUAUAUAUAUAUAUAUAUAUAUAUAUACAUACAUAUUAUUUUCUAAAAAGUAUUUCUAAUUGUUUAACGUUUUAUUUAUGAGUAUUUUUAAGAGUUUAAAAAAUAUGGGAAACAGAAUCAAUUUUAUCAAAUAAAAAGAAUAUUGGUCAUUUUCUUCAUAAAGAAAGUGUUAAAAUACUUUUGGUAUUUAAGAAGUAACAAUUUUUUUUUUUGUUUCAUAAAAAAAGCAUUCAAAAUUAUAUUAAAUAAAAUUAAAGAUUAACAAAACUGACGUCUGAAUUUCGUGUAAAUUAUAAUAAGUUUAUCUCCAGCAUGAAUGACAUUAUAGCGUGGCUAGCAUCAUCAAAAUUCUGGUAACAUUCCAAGGUUGUCAAACUAAUCAUCUCAAAAUGUCAUUAUACUUGUAGCGUGCGGGCAUCAUCUUUACUUUCAGCAUCAAAAUUCUUUUAUUUAAUACACUUUUAUUUUAUACAAUUUUUAUCAUAUUAAAAUCCUUUGUAAUUUAAGCUCUCUCGGACUUUUAAAAAUGUUAUGCCACCCCUUCUUUAGCAGUAAUAGUAUAUGAUUAUGAUUUAAUUAUUUUAUUUUUUAAUUUAUCAAACACCAAUCACUUAAAUUUAACCUAAGAAAAAAUUAGAACAUCAGAUAAUUUUAAUUGAUUCUUAUUAAGUACUAGAAUUAACUGCUCCCAAUGAUAAUUUAUUAAGCAAACCAUAGUGAUCAUCUUACACUAAAGAACCAACCCAUCUUCAAAACACAAGAAUUUAGUACAAAUAAUUAUCCCAAUAAAGUUUAACGAAAAAGGAAAGAGAUAUUUUUAUUAUUUCUUUUCCUUUCUUUCAUUUCAAUUUCUUGCCUCCUGAGCUCUUCUAAAAGCCAACCAAACCACUUAUUUAAAAAAAAAAAAAAGGAACCAGACAAAGCGCAAGAAAAAAAAUUAAAAAAUUCGCAGUCUACACACAUCCCAGCACCGUAUGCGUCCAAUAAUUCAUCUCCAAUAAUUGCCCCUAUAUGACCACCGGUUUGUACUUGCAUAUAUGUGAAACAGGAUAAAAUCACAAUGUGUCAUUUAAUUAGCAGAGGUAACAAGAUCCUACAGAAAAGGGUUUACAGGAAAAGAAAGGAAAAAAAAUUGUUACAACAUACAGAAACCCAAAUAUUCUACUGGCUAACCCCCAUUAAAAUUCGAAACCAUUCUUAAAUCUCAGCUUAUACUACUUCAUCAUUCCUUCUGUGUACCCCCAACUGAAUUUCUGGCAGAAAUCACAUUUCUUCGUUAGCCUCAACUCAUGCAUCUUUUACUUUUAAUCAAACAUACUUUUUUAUCUGCUGGGCUUUUUAACAAAGAAUAAUUUUCCUUAGAUCUUUUCUAAUAGACAAGAAAGCACAAAGCACAAAUAUCUAGGAAUGUUUUUGCCCUUCAUCAUAGCACUUGCAAAGGCUCCAGGGUAUAGAAGAACCUUGGCUACAAAUUCCUGGGAAGACUUCACUUAUAAUCAACUGGAAGGAUGUCACCUCUACGGGCGUUGUACAUUUUCCACUUCUACGUGGUAUCCUGCAGAAACAAACAAUAAAACACGUGUUAUACAAGUAUUUUUUAAGUAUGAAAUACAUCAAAAGCAUUUAUGAUGCCAUUAAGUUUAGUCAAUACAAUCUCUCAAGGCAGGACAAGAGAUUUGAGAUUCAAACUCCACCUACGUAGGAAAGGAAUGUCAAAAAGAAAUGCGGUUGGGAUAGGUUAUUACGUUUUAUUCUUUUUAUUACUAGAAUUGAAUAAUGCUGCCUUUGACAGUAAAAUAAACGUCAAGUGAUAAUUGAAUUAUAAAAAAGUGAGGUAAAUGGUGAGAAAUAAUCACCAUUAUAAUUUAUAAUAUAAAAUGAGGAAAUAAUUAUGGAAGAAAUGGAAAGAAUUACCUGAAAAGAGGGAUUUGGAAGACAAUGAGACAAAAAUAUAAGGAAGAAGAAAUCGAAGAUAUAAUGCCUGCCCAUUUCUUUGACGAACCUGUAAAAUGUCGUGAUUGAGGGAAUUAAACCGUAUGACGUUUAUGAAAUACUAACUAGGCAACCCAAGAGGGGGGUGAAUUGGGAUUUUAAAAAUUAUCCUAGGCAAACCACACAACAAUUUAAUCUAAUGCCUUAAUAAAUUCGAAAACAAUAAAUUCAAUAAAAGCACAAUAAUAAAUGAGUAAGGGAAGAGAAAGCAAACCCAAGGAUUUUUACGUGGUUCGGCAAUCCCCGCCUACGUCCACGCCUCCAAGCACACCGGGCUUGAGGAUUUUACUAAGCUAGCCUCCCAAGGCUUCAAACGCUUACAAUUGACUUCCAAGGUGUCAAUGGACCUUUACAACAAGAGAUUAUCCCCAAUCUCUUAACCCAAGUGUAUCCCAACACUUACAAUCUUUUAACUUGAUUUUACAAAAAAGAUUACAAAUGAAUCUCUCUCACACAAUGUGUUUGAUCACAAGUGAAAGCUCAAUGUGUGAAUGAAUGAGAUGAAUACAAAGAUUUAAAGCUCAAUGAAAGUUGUAUUCUCAAUAUUUUGCUCAAUGAUGAUCGUUGGAAUUCUUCUUGUUUGAAUUGGAUUGAGAUUAUUUAUAGUUGGAGCUGAAAAACUAGCCGUUAUAGACUGUCUGCUAGAAAACGGUUCGCCGUUAACCAUUAACGGUUAACCGUUUAGGCCGGUCAAAGUUACCGUUGGGCCAAUUUUCAAAUAAACGGUUAGCCGUUUAUUCUUACCCUUUCGCCGUUAAUUUCCAGAGACCUGCAAAACAAAUUUGGUUUAACCGUUCUUAUUAAACGGUUCAAGGUUAACAAUCUGGAAAUAAUCGGUUAACCGUUUUCAGUAAACGGUUCACCGUUAGUUUCCAGAAUCAUCAUUUUAAUAAUACUUUACAGAACAUGCUUUCUGGAAAUUAUCGGUUAGCCGUUUUAAAUAAACGGUUAGCCGUUUGCUACAGUGAUUGCUACAGUGAAAAUAUUUUCUAAAUUUAUAAUUUAACCCCAAAACUUUAUAAAACUUUAUUACGGCCCAAAACGUUAUGAAACUUUGCACAUAGGUCCAAUUUCAGAAUUUCUAAAUAAUACUUUGUUAAUCCCAAAACUUUUUGAAAUUAUGGUAUAGCCCAAAAUGUUAUGAUACUUUUCAAAUAAGUCCUUUACCAAGAUUUCAAGCAAUACUUGUUUAUUUCAAAGUUUUCAAAAUUCUUUCAAUUAAACCAUAAACUUUGAAAAACAACCAAUUUCAUAAAAUCAUUUUUCCAUUAAAUAUGAAACAUUUAUAAUGUGAAAAUAAUGAUUUAUUUAAAAAGAAUAAAAACAAUCAAUUUCAUAAAAUUAUUUUUCCAUUAAAUAUAAAACAUUUAUAAUGUGAAAAUAAUGAUUUAUUUAAAAAGAAUAUUAAAUAAUUUGAGCUUAAAAGAUUAAUCAUUCUUAAUCUUAUUUGUUAUCAUCAAAAUCAAUAUUAUGAAAAUAUAUAUGUUAACAGUUUACUUUGGCGGCCCCCAGUCUUGUCAAUCAGAGAAUAUGUUUUGGCCGAAAUUCACAAUUCUUACCACGUGAUUUAAUUAAAGCACACAGAAUUCGUAAUUUUCUCCAGACAAUUUAAAUUAAACCCGCACUCUUUAUGGACUCCACUUUUAAGAAGGAUAUUGCCCACCGAGCAAACUAACCAAAACUCUUUUCCCUUCUGCGUUCAUUCUCCAACUCGUUGUCACUUUGUUUUGCUCUUCCUCUCUAUAUGAUUUUUAAGAACUAUUAAAUGUUUGUUUGUUUCUUAAAAAAAAUGUUUGUUUUUUUUUGUAUUAGAUGAUUAUAAAUAUUUAUUUAAUUUUAUAUUUUUUUAAAUUUUUUAUUAUUGUUUCAUUAUUUUUUAGUAAAUUUUUAAAAAUUAAAUAAAUUAUUUUUAUUUCUGUUAAUAAAAAUUUAAACUUUAAAUUUUUGAGGGAUGAGAUUUAUUUUUUUUAAAUAUUAAAAUACUUAAAAUAUCUUUUAUUUAUGUAAUAAUUUUAUUUUAUUUUUUUGUUAAAUAAUUUUAAAAAAAAUUAUUUAUUAAAAUAAUUUUAUAAUUUUUAAUAAAAACUCUUAUUAUCAAUUAAAUAACUAAAAUUAUUUUCAUAAAAACUUUUAUAAUAAAAAUCCUACCACACCGCAGAGUCUGCACUUACCUGCGCGUACUGUUUAAAACCCCUCACCGGCUCUGCUCUCGCCACCAAUAUUAAGAAAGAUACUUUGUUGUGGUGGCAUUUUGGUAAAAAAUAUGGGCCCCCAAAAUAAUCAUAAUAAUUAAGGAUUUAGCUAUGUGGCAACGGGUACACCAUACACUUUUUUUUUUUUUUUUUUUGUGCUGCCACAGUUAGAUCCAACACAAAAGUAGUAUUAAGAGCAAGAUGUGUUUGUUUGUUUAUUAACAAUGCAAUCCCUAAUAUUUGUCAAAAAUUUUAAAAAGUUAAAGUUUAUAAAAUUUUGUGCCAAUAUUUUUUUCCCAAAUUCUCUUAGCACAAUUAAUUGUGUUAUGGUAUCCACUUUUGCAGGUUAUAAUCAAGAGAUCAGACAUGAUAGAUACAUAAAAAAUAAUAUAAAAUAAAAAAAUUUUGAAUUUUUGUUAAAGCUCUCAUUUCUAAUAAUUUGUUAAAAUAUUCUUUUACCUAAGAAAACAAACUCAUUGACAUAAUAAAAAGAGUUUUACUGAUAAAAUAAUAAUUAUUCAAUUAUUAGAAGUGCUACAGUUAGAUUUUUUUAAGUUGAAAAUGUAGAGAAGCAUGGAGGAGAAGAGGAGAAGAAGACACAUAAUAAAACAUAAAAAUUUUCAAUUUAUUUAUACCUGAAUUCCAUUGUAUGAUGAAUAGAUUGUAGGUACAAAAAUAUAUUUAUGUGAUUUUCUUUUAUAUAAAAAGUUCAAUUCAUUAUUGCUUAUAUGAUAUAGAGCAAAUUAAUCUUAAGGUAAUGAGAAAGUAGCUUCAAUGAGAAUGCCAAGCUUCUCUUAUUGAUUGUAAUUGAUUGAUUACAUAUUUAAUUAAAAAAAUUCAAAAGGACGUAGAGGUGAGGGUUUUGAAGAAAGAGAAAAAAGAAAUUACUUCAAUAAUUUGUAAAUACAGAAGAGAUUAGGGGGUCAAAAAAUACAAAAAGUAGGGUAUGGUGGACCCAUUGUACCGUAGCUCAACUCAAGCCAAUAAAUUAAUUGUUUUAUCCUAUAAAUAAAAAUUAAUGUUGUGUAUUUGCCUAUAACUUGAGGAGGUAAUAAAAGUCUUUCGUUAUACUCUACUGUUAGUUUCUCGCCUUUUAUUCCUCUGAAAUCUUUCAACAAAAAUGGGUGGCGUCAUCUCAACCUUCUUAUCAGCGGACACAAUUCGUCCAAUUUUAUCUUACGUUGGUGGAGAAGCUAAGUAUAUAUGGGGUCUAAAAGAUAAUCUUGAUGACUUGCAGACUCAGAAGGAGAAGUUGAUUGAGAAAAAAGAAGAUAUGCUGAAUGAGGUUGAGCUUGCUGAACAACGACCCCGAACCAGACGGACGAGAUCGGUGCAACGCUGGUUUGAAAGAGUGGAUCGAAGGGUAACUGAAGUUGAGAGGCUGCAACAAGAAAGAGAUCAAGAGAUUGACAGAUUGUGCCUUGGAGGCUUCUGUUCCAAGAACUUGAUCUCAAGCUACAGCUUCGGGAAAAGAGUGGAGAAGAUGAAGAACGAAGUGAUCGAAUUGAAGAAAGGAGGAGAAGCAAUCAAUCCACUUUAUGAGGAGGUACCAGAAGGUGCAGCGGUUGCAAUAGCUGUUGACCGAACAAUUGUCGGUCAAGAAUCAAUACUAGACCGAGUUUGGAGAUGCAUCACCGAUCAAGAACAGAAUAAGGGAAUUAUUGGCUUAUAUGGUAUGGGGGGCGUCGGCAAAACUACUCUGUUAAAGCAAGUCAAUAACAAAUUCUGCAGUGAUGAACAGCAUCAUUUUGGUGUCGUUAUCUGGUCGGUUGUGUCGAGAGAGCCAAACUUGAAGCAGAUUCAAGUGGAUAUUGGAAAAAGGAUAGGCUUCUCAACAGAUUCAUGGCAGAGAAAAAGUUUUGAAGAAAGGGCUUCAGACAUCACCAACGCUUUAAAGCAUAAGAAGUUUGUAUUGUUAUUGGAUGAUAUAUGGGAGUCCAAAAUUGAUUUAACCGAAUUGGGCGUCCCUCUUCAAAGAUUAGAUUCUGGGUCCAGAAUAGUUUUCACAACUCGUUUUCGUGGUACUUGUGGUGAAAUGGGAGCUGACGAGCGGUUCGAAGUGUCCUGUUUGGGAGAUGACGAUGCCUGGAAAUUUUUUGAGGGGGUGGUUGGGAGAUACGUUCUCGACAAGCAUCCCGACAUUCCGGAGCUAGCCAAAGCUAUGGCAAGGCAGUGUCAUGGUUUGCCGCUAGCACUCAAAACAGUAGGUAAUGCCAUGGCGAGCAAAGAGUACCCUCAAGAAUGGAGUCACGCCAUUGAGAUCAUAAGCAGAUCAGCUUCUAAAUUCAAAGAUAUGGAAAAACAGGUGCUUUCGCGUUUGAAGUUCAGCUAUGAUAGUUUGCCCACUGACGAACUUCGUUCUUGUCUCUUGUACUGUUGUUUAUUUCCGGAAGACUCUGAAAUUCCAAAAACCGACUUGAUGGAGUAUUGGAAAAGUGAAGGAUUUGUGGAUUCUAGCAGCGGGUGGGGGGUUCUUGGUGCUCUCCUUCGUGCAUGCUUAUUGGAGGAAGCAGGCUUAGUGGACGAAGGAGGUAAUCGUGUAAAAAUGCACGAUAUGAUUCGUGACAUGGCAUUAUGGAUAGCAAAUGAAAUAGAGGAGGAGGAGGAGAACUUCUUGAUUCGUGCAGGAGUUGGAUUAACUGACGCCCCAAAGAUUGAAGAAUGGGAAGGGGUCAAAAGGAUAUCCUUGAUGGAGAACAAAAUUCAAAGUCUACCACAAAUUCCCACUUGUCCGCGUCUCCAGACUUUGCUUCUAAAUCGAAAUCAUAUUGCGAAGAUCACUGACAGUUUCUUUCAAUCUUUGCCUUCGCUUAGAGUUUUGAAUCUAAGUGGAAAUCAUUACCUAACUGAACUACCUGUAGGAAUUUCAAGUUUGGUUUCAUUACACCAUCUUGAUCUGUCUUAUACUCCCCUAACUGAACUUCCUGUAGGGAUUUCAAGUUUGGUUUCAUUACACCAUCUUGAUCUGUCUUCUACUGAAGUACGUGGGUUGCCGCAAGAGCUCAAGGCAUUGGUGAAUCUGAGAUAUUUGAACUUGGAGUAUACACGUAAAAUGUCUAGAAUUCCAGAGCAAUUGAUAUCAAGCUUUCCAAAGUUACAGGUGCUCAGGAUGCUGAGUUGCGGUUCUGAGAUAUUUCCAAUAGUGGAAGAAGGCAACGUUCUAUCCGAUGGUGCUGAACCAUUGAUUAAGGAAAUCCACUGUUUGGAACAAUUAAAUCUCAUCACCUUGUCCUUACGUGGUACGCGUGGUGUUGAAAACUUUUUGAAAUUCCCAAAGCUGCAGAAUAUCACUCAAGCUCUGUCCAUCGAACACUGCAACAGUCUACCGCUCAAUUUGUUGCAUCUAUCAAACAUGGAGCAUCUUGAGAAGCUACACAUCGAGGAAAGUAAUUUGGAAGACUGGAAUGUCGACUGCGCAGGCGAGGUACAAAAAAUGCGUAAACUUCACUUUGUUACAAUAUACGAAUGCUCAAAUGUGAAGGACUUUACGUGGCUUGUUUUUGUUCCAAAUCUCAAGUGGCUACGAAUAUGUUAUUGUGAUGACAUGGAAGAAAUAAUCAGUGUUGAAAAAUUGAGUGAAGUUUCGGAGAUGAUGGGAGAGCUUAACUUGUUCUCAGAACUCGAACUUCUGGUAAUAAGAAAUGCAAGUAAUUUGGAGCGCAUCUACCGCGUUCCCUUGCCCUUUCCACAGCUGAAGGUAAUUGACAUAUCGGAAUGCCCAAAGUUGAAGAAGCUCCCGCUCAAUUCCAGCAGCGCAAAGGGACGUAAAAUUGUCAUUUACGGGGAGAAAGAAUGGUGGGAAGAGCUACAAUGGGAGGAUCAAGCCACUCAAAAUGCUUUCUCUCCCUGUUUCCUACCUGAUGAAUAAUAAAGUGCAAUAAGGCGCAAAAGUGUGAAUAAAAUUUCUGCGUGUGCUUAAUGUUAGGCACUAUUAUUCAGGCUUAAAUAAUAACAAUAAAAUACUACACCGUGUCUGCUUUCUUUUACUUUUCUUGGUUCUGUUGUAAAAUUCAGUUCUAUUUGAAGGAAAUUAUUAACAUCAAAACUAAAUACUUCGUGAGCAUCUACUGACAACAUACUCCAGAUGACACCAUAACCAUAUCAUAUAAAGCAAGAAAUGUGAAAUAAAUACAAAAUGAAUCACAGGAGGAAAUCACCACACUCUGCGGUCUCUCCUGCUAAACCCUGCAGUUAGAAUGCCAUUUGUCGUGAGCACCUGAAUCCCCAAAGGACUCCCAGCUUCAAGUGGCUUUGACUUAGCUUGCUUUAGCUCCAUUGCACAUACUCACUCACAUGGAGGAAAUGAACAGAACAAGAAACCUCAUCAAGCCGAAUAUGAUAGAUAUGACAAGGCAUUACACUGUAGGAAGCUCCCGAUUUCUCUAAAAAACUUUGCAGGUUCUCCGCAAUCAAGGCGUGCUCCAUCUUUAACAGAUCACUUCUACCAUUAAGAGAAGGGAGAGAGUUCCUCUCGUGUGACAGUAAAUCCUUACUUAACACAGGAUUGGAGCCAACCAAGAAGGGAAGGCAAUUUCGUUAGAUUAAGAACCGAAUCACCAUCCAAAAUAGUAGCAUUUGAACCAGAACUCUUGUUAAAUUCUUGAAAUCUCCUGCUUUCAUCAGUCUGUAAGAGAAAUGAAGAUGAGAAUAAUAGCCAGAACCGGAUUAAAUUCAAUCUGGUCUUUUGAAGACUUCUAUAACAACUAAGAGAACCCAGUGUACCGCCUACAGAUACUGUCAGGCUUCUAUCAAAUAUCCCAAACACCAAAAACAAACCAAAUUAAGCUAACAAACCUGCAUGAAUAUCUAAAUUUCAAUGCACAUGAAACAAACUCCGUCUUCAAUCCACCAAAACUAGCAAAUUUCAAACUUUAUCCCUCAUCACUCUCUCUCUGUCAGCUGUAUGAGGCUACGAGAUCAUGUUAUAAUGUUCAUAUUGAUGCUGAAUGUUUUGCCAGCUUGUCUGAAUUCCAUAAGAGAAUGCAAUUUGCACAUUAUUGUGCCUUGCCCACCAUUAGAUUCUAAACCACAAAAUCAUUGUGUGAGUAGCUGACGUUUCGCACAUUCUUAUCCCUUAUCAUCAAUAUUCUUCUCCUCAAGCUUAGAUCAUGGAAAUUUGAGUGACAAACAUGAUAACAUGGUAACACCAUCUAAACUUUAGGGGCAUAAAGUAACAUAGAAGCAACAUGGGAUGUUUUAAAAUCUAUUAUAAUUUGCUUAGGCCCCUGAAUAAAAUUAAAACUUGAAAUGAAAUAAAGUAGCAAAAUAAAGAUUGGAGGUCGCAUGCUUGAUAUUUGAUGCUGUCAAAAUUAAUUUGCAGUGCUGAAAUUGCUGCUCCAAUAAAUUUUUCAAUGGGAUUUCUAUAUUUACAACAAAUUUUCAGUAUUGAAACAGGAUUAAAAUCAUAAAGUGUCUUUUAAACAGCAGAGGCAACAAGAUCCUACAGAAAAAGAAGGCAAAAAGUAGUUACAAGCUACAGAAACGCAAAUAUUCUACUGGCCCACUCCCACUAAAUUCGAAGCGAUUCUAAAAUCUCAGCUUGUACUACUACAUCAUUCCUUCUAUGUGGCCCAACUGUACUUCACCCAGAAAUCACAUUUCUUCAUCAGAGAUAAUUUUACUUCUAAUCAGAGAUUAUUUUUUAUAUGCAUGGCUUUACAGUAAUGAAUAAUUUUCCUUAAAUCUUUUCUAACAGACAAGAAAGCACAAAGCACAAAAAUUCAUAUAAACAACUUUUCUCGAAGCUUUUUCAUAAGAAAACCUGAACAUGAUUGCUUCUCUUAGAAGGCCCCCUAGCUUCCUGCAAGAACCUGGUGUUCCAAAAAAAAAUGAUUAUAAUUAGGCAUAAGGUCCUAAUGUUCUUGCAGGAAUUAUGAUGAAUAUCAGGGUUUCAAAAAAAAAAAAAUUAAGACAACGAUUACGGAUUUAAAGCACACAGAAUUUACACUUUUCUCCAUGUGAUUUAAAAGCACACAGAAUUCUCCUGACCUUAAUUGAAAUCCAAUAUUGUAGACUCAUUGUUGUAGCUAGAAAAUCAUAUUAAUAGAGUAAAAUUUAUAAAUAAUCAAAGAAAAGAGUUCACGCUCUUACUUCAUUACUUUUAUAAUCUUAUUAGUAUAUCAACUUACAUGUCUUCAGAAAAUACAGUUUUAAGGGGAUAUUUUUAUGGUUGUAGAUAUUUUUAUUUUUCUUCUUAAUAAUAGAUUUAAUUUUCAUAUUUCUAAUGUUAAGUUGCAGAUUUGGACUAAAUCAGAUUAAAUUUCAAAUUAGAUCACCGACCUUAUUUUAAUAGGUUCAAUUGGAUUUUGGACAUCUAAUUAAACAACUGGAAUAAUAAAUUGCAAAUGAAUGAGAUUUAUAUGUGAUUUUAAAAUAAAAUUUGAACUCAAAUCUAUGUAUUCAAUUAAUCCAACAGGACAAAUUUAUAAUUUCCACCAACUAAAUAAAAUAUGUUAUCAGAAACUUUUGGAUCAAGUCGGGGCAGUGUAUUACUUCGUGGGUCUGCUACUACUUAUAGUCCAUUCUCAUUUCAACUUUCACAUCUUUUAUAUUAUGUACAAAUUGGAUUAUAUUCUAAAAAAGUGUUUCUAAUUGUUUAACGUUUUAUUUCUGGGUAUAUUUAGAGAUUAAAAAAUAUGGGAAACAUAAUCAAUUUUAUCAAAUAAAAAGGAGUAUUGUUCAUUUUUUCAUAAACAAUGUGUUAAAAUACUUUUGGUUUUUAAGAAGUAACAAUUUUUAUUUUCAUAAAAUAGCAUUCAAAAUUAUAUUAAAUAAAAUUAAAGAUUAACAAAACUGACAUCUGAAUUUCGUGUAAAUUAUAAUAAGUUUGUCUCCAGCAUGAGUAACAUUAAAGCUUGGCUAGCAUCAUCAUAUUUUAUCUCCAGCAUCAAAAUUCUGAUAACAUCAACAUCAUAAUUCCAAGGUUGUCAAACUAAUCAUCUCAAAAUGUCAUUAUACUUAUAGCGUGCUGGCAUUAUCUUUACUUUCUGCAUCAAAAUUCUUUUAUUUAAUACACUUUUAUUUCAUACAAUUUUUUAUCAAAUUAAGAUCCUUUGUGAUCUAAACUCUCUUGAACUUUUAAAAAUCUUAUGCCACCUCUUCUUUAGUAAUAGUAAUAGUAAUAAUAUGAUUAUGAUUUAAUUAUUUUAUUUUUUAAUUUAUCAAACACCAAUCACUUAAAUUUAACUCAAGAAAAAAUUAGAACAUCAAAGAAUUUUAAUUGCUUCUUAUUAAGUACUAGAAUUAACUUCUCCCAAUGAUAAUUUAUUAAGCAGACCAUAAUGAUCAUCUUACGCUAAAGAACCAACCCAUCUUCAAAACACAAGAAUUUAGUACAAAUAAUUAUCCCAAUAAAGUUUAACGAAAAAGCAAAGAGAUAUUUUUAUUAUUUCUUUUACUUUCCUAGUGGCUCUGCUACUACCUAUAGGCUAUAGUCCAUUCUUAUUCAACAUUCAGAUCUUUUAUAUUAUAUGCAAAUUAAAAUAUAUUCUAAAAAGUGUAUCCAACUGGUUAACAUAUUAUUUCUAGAUAAUAAUCAAUUUUAUCAAAUAAAAAAGAGUUUUUGGUCAUUCAUUUGGCUCCGUUGCCACUUGUACGUUACAAAAGCUUUUGUCUAUGCUGACUCAGUUACUGUAAAAUGUCGUUCAGCCCCUUAUACUCUAUGUUAUUUAUAAUUUAUUUAUAAGAAUUAUGAAAAUUUCUACUUACCUACACUAUCAAAAUUCAAUUUAUCUCCUCACAAUCUUUUUCAUUUACUAUUUUUUUCUAAGUAUUAAAAGAGUUCUAUUUACAACCACGACAUAUUAAUCAUCAUAACACACAAAUAUUAAUAAAAAGAUAAAAAUAUCCUUAAAUUAAUACUAAAAAUGCUUUCCUCUCUUCUUUAUAAUAUCAUAUUAUAAUAAUUAAUACUUUCAUGAUAAAAGAAUUAAAAAAAUAAAAAUAAAUUCCCUUUGAAUCCAUCCCUCUCUAAUAUCAUUUUCUCUUCAUUAGGAACAUUUAUCGACAAUUGAAGCCACCAUCAGACUCAUCACACAGAGAGAGUGAGAGAGGGGAAGAAGAAACAGAGAAAAAAUAUAUGAGACAUUUACAAUUUUAUAGUGUGUUUAUUCAACGGGAUUUAUAUAUAGUUGCUAAGGGGUUUCAUCAGACACAAGGAGUUGAUUACACUGAAACUUUUAGUCUAGUAGUUAAGGCUUCAACAGUCAAAGUUAUUCUUAGCCUAACAGUACUUAACAAGUGAAUAAGCAGACAAGUGGAUGUUAAUAAUGUCUUCCCCUAGCAGUACUUAACAAAUGAAUAAUCAGACAAGUGGAUGUUAACAAUGCCUUCCUUAAUGGCAUUUCAGUUGAAGAAGUUUACAUGGCACAACCUGAGGGGUUUGUGGAUCCUACUAAACCCCAACACAUCUGCAAAUUAAAAAGGACUAUAUAUGGCUUGAAGCAAGCUCCCAGGCUUGGUUUGACAAAUUCAAAGCUGCAAUGAUUACUCAAUGGCAUUUUCAACACUCAAAAUCAGAUAAGUCUCUCUUCUAUAAAUGGAUCAAUGGUCAUGUAAUUCUAGUUCUGGUUUAUGUUGAUGAUAUCAUACUCACUGGUUCAAAUUCUUACUUAAUUCAGCCAGUCAUUCAAGACAUGCAUCACACCUUUGCUUUAAAAGACUUGGGAGCUCUUAACUAUUCUCUAAGAAUUGAAGUGGUUAAAUUAGCAAAUGGCAUUUAUCUGUCUCAAGCAAAAUAUAUUGCUAAUAUAUUGGCAAACAUGAUAUGGUUCACUGCAGUCCAUUACAUAUUCCUAUGUCUACCAGUCACUACCUCACAAAAGAUUCAAGUGACAUUAUUGCAAAUGUGUCUCAGUACAGAAGUAUCUUAGGUGCAUUGCAAUAUGUUACUCUUACAAGGCUUGACAUAACAUAUAUAGUUAAUAAACUAAGUUAGUUUUUAUUUAGUCCUCGAACACAACAUUGGGAGGCUCGCAAAAGGUUGCUAAGGUACUUAAAAAGAAUUUUACAUCUUCGAUUGCAUUAUUACACAAAUGGAGCUAUGCAGAUACAUUAUUUCAUAGAUUCUAAUUGGGCAUGUGAUAGGGAUGACAGGAAAUCACUUGCUAGUUUUGCAGUCUAUCUAGGUCCCAAUUUAGUCUCAUGGUCAUCCAAGAAACAAGCAGUGGUAUCAAGGUCAAGUAUAGAAGCAGAAUAUAGAGCAUUAGCUCAUGCUACUUCAGAGGUCAUGUGGAUACAAUCUCUUCUUAGUGAGUUGCAAAUUAAACUUAGCACCACUCCCAUAAUAUGGUGUGAUAAUCAAGAAGCUAUUGCCUUAGCAUACAAUCCAUUUUAUUAUGCCAAAACCAAACAUGUUGAGCUAGAUAUACACUUCAUUCGAGACAAAGUUGUAGCUAAGAGCAUUGAGGUUAGUUAUGUGCCCAGUGAAGGUCAACCAACUGAUGUAUUAACCAAAGCUCUCACUUUUAAGCAGUUUCAUUGCUUGUGAAGCAAGCUGAAUGUCUAUCCUGGACAUUUUAGCUUGAGGAGGGAUGUUAGUGAUAUUGAAUUUCAAGCAAAGCAGAGCACAAAAUCAUUAUAUGACUGACCACAACUGAUUCACUCAUUAAGCUAACUUGGCAAGUUAGUUAUACAGCUCACCUCACAUGUAUCAAAUUUCGCGUGUGUAUAACAGAUUGUAUGAAUCAUUUAGCUUGCUAUAUAAAUAUGUAAUGUGUACUCAGUUUUCAAUUAGUUAAUUACAAAGGAAUCUUAUAUUUGCUUCUAUACAAAUUCUCUUUACUUUUCUUUCAUUUUCUUGCCAAACAACACUUUCUUUAGAAUUCUUUCAUGAAAGGCAAUGAGACAAAAAUGUAAAGAAGAAGAAAUUGAAGAUAGGGUAGGGCUAUUGGCUCUCUAAAAUUUAUUUUGGACAUUGAUGUGAUCUUUAAAAAAAAAUUACAUAAUUUUAUUCUUAGGUUAUGUUUAUCUCUUUGAGUUGUUAUCAUAGUUCAUUUUGAUUAAAUAAAAGUAGUUGUUGUAUUAACAUAAUUCUAAUGAACAUAGGUUUUAUUGUGCUUUUAAUCUUUAGGUCCAACUUCUGUAAGAUAGUAUUUAAACCAGCAUCAAUGUCAAUAAUAGCAGGCUGAAAUGUUUCUUUUGGAGACUGAAUAGUUGUAUUGGGAGAUAUGUCCCUCAAAGUACCAAAAACAUAUUUAUUAAAGCUUAGUUUCCUUGAAUUUGCCCAUUUAUCACUUGUUCUUUUUAUUUUGUUUGAUUUCCUGUUGUAAUAAUUUGUGUCUGUAAGACUAUAACAGACACUCACAUUUUAAUAGUUCUUUAUAUCACUAAAUUAACCUUAAUGUAAAAUUAACCGUAAUGUAAUUUACUAUUAAGGACAAUUUAAUAAAAUAUAGUUCAAUAAAUUUUUAUCCAACAUCUUAUUUUAUCUACAAUAAACUAGAUAAACAAUGAAGAAAUGAAUAAAAGUUCACGUGAAAACGAUGUCUAUACUUAUGGGCUAAACCUUUUUUUUUCAGUUUUUUUGUUAAUAGAAUUGUUAGGAAAACAUCAUGUAACACGUUCCAUCUUUUGUAACAAAAGGAAUUAAAAACAGAGGUGGAGGAAGAACAAUAAAUUGCACCACUACAACAUAUGAAAAACGAAAGAAAUCAAAGGAUAAAAUCUGUUUCAAAUUUGUUUUCUGAUCUUCACUCAAUCUAAUCUGCAUGCUUUCAUGGAUUUGAAAAACAAAAUUGAAUUGCGACAUUAAAGAGAAGAACAAACAUAUGUCAAACCAUAUUAUGAAAGCAAAAUAAAAGUUGAUAAAAAAUGAAAAAAAGUUCAAACAUUUUGUUUGUGAUGAUGAAUAUUUUAUUAGAUGUAAAGAGGAAAUAAGAUAAUUAAAGAAAUGGGUAAUGAGAACAAUAAAGGAAGUCGAAAAAUAUUUCAAAUACAAAUUAAUAUUUUGAAAUUAUUAAUUGAGUGUUCAAAAUAAAUUUUAGAAUGUAAGAAGUGCAUCGCUGCCCAUUUCUUUGAUGAACCCAGUAGAAACAGCUUUAAAAUUAUAGAAACUGUAAAACGCUGUAAAAGUGAAAACUUUAAAAAGCUUGCUCUAGUAUUUAAACCUUUAAUAGUGCAAAGUCACAAGUCUUGCAGCUAGUUGAUAUAUCCCCAAGCUAAAAACAUGUGUUGUAUACUCAUUUUUUAUAGUGAUACUAGAACUAUUAUUAUCUUAUGUCUAUGUACGUAUGUUUACAAUUUAUUUCAUAAAUUUACUGAGACAAGUGCCGAAAUUUAUGGCGAAGUACGUCCAAUCUAUUGUCACUAAGGCCCUAUUUGGUAUUUAGAUAAUGUAGUUUUUGUGAAAAAAAAUAAUGUAAUUAAGAAAUAAAAAUUAAUAAUAUAUAGUAAUAUGACUUGUAAAUAAUAAUUUGAAAAAAAUAAUAAAGAAUUAUAAGUUUUUUCAAAAUAAAAGUGGUGGAUCAAAUUAAUUUAGCUUUCAAGUCAUAGCAAGUAGUGUUUAUCAAAUAUAAAAAGUUAUAAUUAUCCAAUCUCAAUCAGAACCUGAGCAUUUUUAGCAAAAACAAUACUUUUAUUCUAUAUUUUACAAAUAUCUUCACCAUUAUUCAGAGCACCAACCCUUAACUUUUUUCGAUUAUGUUUGGUAUAACUUUUUAAGCAGAACUUUUACUAAAAAAAAUAAUUGUUUGAUUGUCAAUGAGAUUUUUUAUUAAAAUUUCUAGAAUUACUUUAAUAGGCAAAUUUCUUAAAGUUAUGUUAUGAAAUGAAUAAAAUAAAAUUGUGAAAUAUAUAAAGCAUAUUUUAGACAAUAUAAUAUUUUUAAAAAAUUUUAACCUCUACUCCACAAAAUUUAAAAUUUAAACUUUUAUUAGUACAAAUAAAAUAAUUUAUUUAAUUUUUUAAAAAUUUUACUCAAAUUAUAAUUAAAUAAUAUUAAGUCUUAAAAAAAAGUUAUAAGAUUAAAUAAAUAUAUUUGACUGAACAUACACUAACUUGAACUCUUGAAAAAUAAAUAUUUUGCGCCACAUAAGUAGGGUCCAAUUAUGUUGCAACUGAUGUAUUAUACCAGAGUUCCUCUUUUUUUCCCCGUAUUAUUGGAUAAUUGAUGCAAAUUAAGCAAAGUUGUUGGGUGCUUCUCGUUCAAUCUAGCAGUUGAAAUUAAUUAUUGGAUAAUUGAUGCAGCGACUAGCAACCGUUGCAGCCGGUUGUAUAUUAAUUUAAUAGCAGUUCAGCGAGCGUGGGUUUCGAAAAUUUGUUAGUGCUGAUUAGAGUCUCACUGAUUUCAUCUGAAAAUUGAUCUCGAGACAUCAAUUAAGACAUAAAAUUAGAAUUAGGGGAUCGCAGUUUUUUUGGGAAUUAAAAUUUCCCUAUGAUUCAUACAUGAAUAUGGCCUCUCACUUGUAGGGAAUUGACGGUGAAAUUAUAAUCGUCACAGCAGAAUGCAAUCAAAAGUUACGGUGCUAAAAGUUUAGGCAUAUAUCAAAUUAGAGUGAAUCUCGCAUCACUUUGAUUUGGUCUUAUGCCGAUCGAAUCACCUGAUGCAGUAUGUAAUUCCUUAUUAAAACUUGCAAUUUUUUAUUUUGAAAAGAUUUAAAAUUUGUAAUUUCAUUACAGAAAUGAGGCGGGGGCUCACAAACAGAAAGCUAGCGAUUUAAAGAGCCACAGUCAAGCUUUAGAAGCCGAUGGUAACAUAGUUAGAACAAUAGAAUCUGAUAGCGUUAGGGAUUCAUAAGCUAUUUGUAAGUAUUUGUACUCCCUGACUAAAUAAUUUGGGAAUAUAAGGAUGCAAUAAGAGUUGAGUGGUCUUUAUUCCAAUAGCAUUAUUUUUUUCGAGCUUCAUCCGUGCUCUAUUCAAUCUUUAUGUGCCGCUUGUGUUAUGUUCCUGCAUAUCUAAUUACCUUUAGAUGCUAGUUGAUAUUUGACAAUUUUGCAGGUUAAGGAUAUUAGAUGGGAUGCAGAGCUUGGCAGUCAGAACAUGGAAUCACGGUUGGUUGAAUACUUUGUAGAUGAGUUUAAUAAACAAGUUGGUAAUUGGGUGAAGUGAGGAAGUCUCCCAAGGCCAUGGCUGAACUGAAGAAGCAAGUUAAAUAUACAAGAGCAAUUCUUUGUGCGAACACAAUGGAACCAAUAUCAGUUAUAUCUUUCCACGAUGAUAGGGACUUCAGAUAAGUGGAGUUAAAGUUCAGAUUUUACUGUUUGAGGUGCGUUUGAAGUUUAUUAACAAAAUUAAUGUGUUCUUUAAAUGAGUGAGGAACUGUAGAACAUGACAAGUAGAGUUUAUUGUGUGAGGGAUGCAUAUUCUCUUACAAGUGCUUUGUUCUUUAAUAUAGCACUAUAAGACAUCUUCUGAUGAAAAAUAGAGUCAAUAAAAUUACUCCAGACUGACUGGGCCGUUACGUUUUGGAUUCCAAUUCUUGCAUGAGAUUUCUUUUUCCUUUUUUUCUUUUUUCAAAUUUACUAGUGGUACUUUCAUUUGGUAAACUAUUCUAUACAUACAUAUAUAUAUAUAUAUAUAUAUAUAUAUAUAUACUCUAAUCAAUUAUAUUGGCUUAUUCUCCUUUUAUGUUGAUUCACGCUGCUGGUAUAGAUAAAAUUUAUUUAUUAGUUUUGGUGAAAAAUUUGUUUUGUUGCACACGGAUAGUAAACCCAAAUACAUUCAUAUGUGUUAGAGCAGCUCAUUAUGCUGAACAGAAGAAGGUGAAGACUAAGAUGAAGAAAAUACAGAGCAAGUUACAGGGCAAGUGUGUCAGCAGUGCCAGCUCAGCUAACAGCUCAGCAGAUUAGUUAAAGAUGGUUGUAAGCAUGAUGUGCAUUGUACUGAAGUUAGUUAGCUUUGAUUACAGUUAGUCUUUGGAUUAGUUAAAUGAAGUUACCGUGAUUGCAUUGUAUAUAAACAUGUGAUGCUUUGUAAAAAGGUUAAGCAAAAUAAAAAUCAAAGUUUGUUAAGGAAAUAUCUCCAGAAUUAUCAAUUCAUUUUCUUAGUAACCAAACAACUUUAUUUUCAUUUUCUUUCAUGGUAUCAGAGCCACUCUAAUGGCUAGUUCCAGUAGCACAACAUCAAAUCCAAAUCAAAUGAAUAUAAAUCAAUCAUCACAUAUCUCCUUUUCGUUCAGCACUCCAGUCAAAUUGGAUCGAUCAAAUUUCAUGAUUUGGCGAAAGCAAGUUCUUACUACAAUAAGAGGAAAUCGUCUUGAAGAUUUUAUUUCUGGAAAUCAAAUCAUACCAGAACAAUACAUUUCUAAUACAGUAGCUGAUGGAUCAGUACAGAGAAUCACGAAUCCAGCUUACAUCAACUGGCGAGCUCAGGAUCAAACUUUGCUUGGCUGGAUUUUGUCAUCCAUAAGUGAAGGUAUCUUAAAUACUGUUCUUAAUUGCGAAAAUUCAUUUGAAGCAUGGAGAUCAAUUGAAAAACAAUUUGGAGUACAAUCUGAGGCUAGAGUUAUGCAAUUGAGGUAUGAAAUGAAUGUCCUUAGAAAAGAGAAUAUGUCUAUUGAGGAGUACUGUUUAAAAGUAAAAGUUGUUGCUGAUAAGCUUGCUUGUGCUGGUAGCCCUGUGUCUGAGAAAGAUCUGCUAAUGCAAAUUUUGAAUGGCCUAGGACCUGGAUUUCUAGAUCUUGCUUCAAUAAUUACUGCUAAUAGAAUGUCGUAUGAUGAUGCUUAUGCAUUACUCUUAACACAUGAGGCAAGAAUGGAACAAAAUCAUAAUACUAAAGAUCUUUUUAGUGCAAACUAUGGGAUGAUGAAUGCUAACUACUCUCAGUUUAGAGGAAAUAAUAAGAGAGGUGGUUAUAGUGGAUAUCAAGGGCAAUUUAAUGCUGGAAAUAGGAAUCAAAAUGGAGGAAGAGGAAUGUUUUUCAAUUCAUUCUCAAGAGGUUUUCCAGCUGGUGGAUAUACUGGUAAUGCUGGUGGCAGAGGACAGCAAAUGAAUGCAUAUGCUUAUAAACCUGUGCUUAACAACAGGCAUAAUUUCAAUAUGAAUCAUGGCUCAACUUCAAUGUCCAAUGGAAAUGGAUCUGAUGAUAAUGUGCUUAUCUGUCAAAUCUGUCAUAAAGCUGGACAUGCAGCUGAUGUUUGUUGGCACAGACACUUUGAUGGCUAUGCUCCUCAACCCAGACAAUUUGGAAGGGGCAGAGGGCAUAAGUCUGCUUAUAUGGCUAACUUUGAUCCACAAAUUGGCUUUACUUCACAAUUUGAAGAUUCAUUUGCUACAGAAUAUCCUGGUUAUCAUGGGUACCAUCCACCUGAUAUGAAUGCAUCAGUUGCAUCAGUAAGUCAUCACUCAUCUGAUAUGCAUUCUGUACCUGGAGCAGCUUAUAUUGCAAAUUUUGAAGGACCAGCUGAUGAAGGGUGGUAUCUUGAUAGUGGAGCUACGCAUCACAUCACUAACAACAUGGCCAAUAUGCAUAUCAGAGAUCAAUUCACUGGAGCAGAUCAGCUCAUUAUUGGAAAUGGACAAGGUUUGCCCAUAACUCAUGUUGGUGAUGCAUCCUUUCUCUUUAAAAGUUCCAAUUCUACACACAAACACUCACCUAUAGUACUUAAAGAUAUUCUGUUGGUGCCUUCCAUUACCAAAAAUUUGUUAAGUAUCUCGAAGCUUACCACUGAUAACAACUUGUCUGUUGAAUUUCUUGGAAAUGUUUGUUUUGUGAAGGAUUCUCUGAGGGGACAGGUACUUCUGCAGGGUCUUGCUGAGAAAGGGUUAUACAGGCUGUUAUUGAAAUCAUCAUCAUCCUCUCAGUUAUCAUCAUCUUUUCUUUCUCACAUGUGUUCCAAUAAACCUUUGUCUAUGCUUUCUUGUUGUUGUUUCAAUUCUGUUCCUUCUGGAGUUGUUACAGAAUCUCAGAAAUCAUGUAAUCAAACUGAUGAUUCAUCUUGUAAAACUUCAGUUAAUAAAGCUAUUUUGCUUCAUAGAAAGUUUGGUCAUCCCAAUCAUCAAAUAUUAACUCAUAUACUCAAAACAGCAAAAUCUAUUCAUUUACCUGCAUAUCAAAAGCAACAAAUGCAUCAGUACAUCUGUGAGGCCUGUCAAAUGGGCAAAACACAUAAACUUCAUUUUCCAAUUACUGAAACCAAAACCUCCAAAACUCUAGAACUUAUACACACUGAUUUAUGGGGUCCUUCUCCCAUUAUUUCUAGAGAUGGUUAUCAGUAUUAUAUAAGUUUUGUAGAUGACUACAGCAGGUAUACAUGGAUUUAUCCUUUGAAGCUAAAGUCUGAGGCAUUAGAAGUCUUUAAGCUCUUUAAACUGCAGGUUGAAAAUCAGUUUAGCACAACCAUUAAGAUGAUGCAAUCUGAUUGGGGGGGAGAGUAUAGACCAUUCACUGAGUUUUUAAGCCAAUUUGGUAUCAUCUUUAGACAUCCUUGUCCUUACACUCAUCAUCAAAAUGGGUUAGUUGAAAGGAAGCAUAGACAUAUUGUUGAAUUGGGUCUGACUCUCUUAGCUCAAGCUCAACUUCCCUUUAAGUUCUGGUGGGAUGCAUUUCAUACUGCUGUAUAUCACAUCAACAGACUUCCAUCUCCUGUUUUGCACCUUUUAACCCCAUAUGAAAAGACAUUCAAACACAAACCUGAUUAUGAUUUUCUCAGAUGUUUUGGGUGUUCUUGUUAUCCUUACUUGAGAGAUUACAAUAAACAUAAAUUUGCCUACCAUUCUAGUAAGUGCAUAUUCAUUGGUUACAGUCCUUCACAUAAGGGCUACAAAUGUUUACACCCUUCAGGUCGAGUCUAUGUGGCAAGACAUGUUACCUUUGAUGAAUCAGUUUUUCCUUAUGCCACUGAGUUUGUUUUUCAUAGUCAUGCUAAAACUGAUUCUCAAAUUUCUCAUUCCCAUACACCACAGCAAAUCCAUCAUAUCUCUUCUUUGCCUGUCAAUAACAGCACUGGUAAUCUGAACUCUGUAAGAUCUGGAAGCAGCAGUUCAAGUCACUCAGAUCAUCUAGAACAGACAGCAACUGAUCAGAAUUCACAACAAGCUACCAUAAAUGACAGGUCACCUUUUCAUACAUGUCCAACAAUUGUUGAAUCUAUACAAAAUAUUCCAGAACCUCCACAUCACUCUUUGCCUAUACAAAGUCACCAUCCUAGCAACACUUCUUUCUAUCCAUAUACACAACCAAAUACACAUCAGAUGAUAACCAGAAGUAAAGCAGGGAUUUUCAAACCCAAAAUUUAUACUGCUGUGCUUACUCACAAGGAACCAGAUACUGUGCAAGAAGCAUUAAAUGAUUCAAAGUGGCUACAAGCUAUGAGGGAGGAAUAUGAUGCCUUGAUUAAGAAUAAUACAUGGACAUUGGUUCCAAGACAAGCUGAUCAGCAUGUGGUUGGAAAUAAAUGGGUGUAUAGAAUCAAAUAUAAUACAGAUGGAAGUGUAGCUACGUAUAAAGCUAGACUUGUUGCAAAGGGUUUUCAGCAAGUGGCAGGGAUUAACUAUUUUGAGACAUUUAGCCCAGUUGUGAAGUCAGCUACAGUUAGAGUAAUACUUAGCUUGGCAGUGAUGAAUCAGUGGAGAAUAAGGCAAGUGGACGUCAAUAAUGCCUUUUUGAAUGGAGAGCUAACAGAAGAAGUUUUCAUGUCUCAACCUGAUGGCUUUAUUGAUGCUCAGAGAUCUGAUUUUGUAUGCAAAUUACACAAGUCUCUGUAUGGGCUCAAGCAAGCUCCUAGAGCCUGGUAUGACAAGCUUAAAGGAUGCUUAAUAAGCUGGGGUUUCACUACUACUAGUUCUGACACCUCAUUGUUUGUUAGGAAGAUCAAGACAUCUAUGAUCAUAGUUCUUAUAUAUGUUGAUGACAUACUGAUCACAGGUCCAAAUACUGAGGAGCUGGAAGGUUUCAUAACUGAAUUCAGCAAAACUUUUGCUCUAAAGGAUCUGGGAGUGUUAUCUUAUUUCCUUGGAAUUGAGGUAUUAUAUGAUGCAGAUUGUAUGUACUUGUCACAGAGAAAGUAUAUCAGAGAUUUGUUAUCGAAGGUAGAAAUGACUGAAUGUAAGGGCAUUGAUACACCCAUGAGUACUGGCUCUAAACUGCAAAAGAUAGUUCAGGGGGAACUUGGAUACUAUCUUGAAGAUCCAACUCAUUAUAGGAGCAUAGUUGGAGGAAUGCAGUACCUGAUACUUACCAGACCUGAGAUUGCGUUUGCUGUAAACAAGCUCAGUCAGUAUGUAGCUGCACCAACACUACAACAUCUAAUGGCAUGCAAGAGAGUUCUAAGAUAUCUAAAGGCAACUCAAGAUUAUGGUUUAAAAUUUUUCAGAGAAGGAAGCUUAACACUCACUAGUUUUACUGAUGCAGAUUGGGCAUGUGACUUAGAUGAUAGGAAAUCAGUUGGUGCUUAUUGCAUUUAUUUAGGCAAUAAUUUGAUAUCCUGGUCUUCUAAGAAACAAUCAGUGAUAACCAGAUCAAGUGCCGAGAGUGAGUAUAGAGCUUUGGCAUCAGUGAGUGCAGAGCUGACAUGGUUACAAUCCUUAUUUUCUGAGUUGGGAUUAAGUUGCAUAGAAAAGCCAAUCAUAUGGUGUGACAACAUUAGUGCCACUGAACUAGCAAAGAAUCCUGUGUAUCAUUCAAGAACAAAGCAUAUCGAAAUUGAUAUGCACUUCAUUAGGAAUAAGGUUCUUGCUGGUGAGUUGAUUAUUCACUAUGUACCAAGUGAAGAACAGAUUGCAGACAUAAUGACCAAGCCUCUUUCAUUUGUAAGGUUUAACUACUUGAGGUCCAAACUCAAUGUCCAUCUUUGUCCUCUGAGUUUGAGGGGGGCUGUUAGAGCAACUCAUUAUGCUGAACAGAAGAAGGUGAAGACUAAGAUGAAGAAAAUACAGAGCAAGUUACAAGGCAAGUGUGUCAGCAGUGCCAGCUCAGCUAACAGCUCAGCAGAUUAGUUAAAGAUGGUUGUAAGCAUGAUGUGCAUUGUACUGAAGUUAGUUAGCUUUGAUUACAGUUAGUCUUUGGAUUAGUUAAAUGAAGUUACCGUGAUUGCAUACAGGUGAUGCUUUGUAAAAAGGUUAAGCAAAAUAAAAAUCAAAGUUUGUUAAGGAAGUAUCUCCAGAAUUAUCAAUUCAUUUUCUUAGUAACCAAACAACUUUAUUUUCAUUUUCUUUCAAUAUGGAUAUCUGGGGUUUGUUUUGUCUUUUAGGAGCAGCAUUACCUGUCGAAAGUUCAAAGAGCUCACUGAACUUAAGCAUUCGGGGUUGAAAAUGGACGAGAUAUAUGCAGUGGAGUUCAUUGGAGGAGCUACUAUAGUGCCAAAGUUGCAGGUUUGCAAUAUCCGCUUUGUUUUGGUAGUUAGCCCGAGUAUUAAAUUCUUGAGGCGUGUAAGGUAGUGGACUUUAGCCAAUUCAAGAGUAGAAUAUAAUAUGUUUACUUGUUUUGAUCUUAAUCUUUAAUCACUUACCCUGAAUAAGAAAUAAUUUUUUAUAUUUGCUCUGCUAUGAUGUUAUUCGGUGUUAAUAGCUUCGUUUUAUUGCUCUUUUCCGCACAAAUUCUUGAUCUCAAAAGAACUUUUAUUUUGAAUAUUCUGCGUAAGGACAAUCUGAUUUAAUACCAUCAGUGAUUUUUCAUUUUUUCUCUUUAGUUUUAAUAUGUUUGAUAACUGUAUGGUUAAGCAAUCUAUGCAAUUUUAUCUUGUCGUAUGUUUGAGCUCAUUUUUUGUUGCACUUCUGAAUAUUUGGUAUUAAUUAUGUGAUAUCGGACAAUACUAUUAACUUGUUAAUUGCUUAAAUCUAAUAUCUUGUCAAAGUCACUAAUAGCAUUUCAUCAUGCAAUGAGUUAAACAUGGAACAAAUGAUGACAUGCGGUUGUGGAAUGUGUUAGAUCUCUGGGAUUCUAUGUCCUUAUGCUUGCAGGGCAACACAAUACAUUUGUUAAAACAUUGAAGACUGUGAUGUCCGCAGAAAAUUAUACGUCAACUUAUGCACCAGGCAUGAUGAAAUUAGCCAAAGACAGUGCUUGGAAGUGGCAAGCGACAAUUUGCUUCUACCAAUGACUUCAGAUCUUAAACCUGUUUCAAGCAAGGCCAGCAAUGACAUUAUGUUCAAAACAGUUUAGCCAGACACACUUGUUCACACCCCUCUACUACAUAUAACCUAGAGGUACAUUUUUUCUUUACAUUCUUUCUAUACGAUUGGGAUUAGGCUUAUCCAGUUCAAUACAUUAUUUCACAAAACUUAUACCAACUUAUUCCUAAUUAUAGUGGACACAAUUAACUUACUUUGGCAAUUGUUUCGAAGAGGUUGACAUCAACUACCAGUGAUGACAAUCUCUUGUAAUGUUUUGGUGCUAUCUACUAAAUAUUACUACUACAUAAUAUUGACAAUUCAUCUAUGUGCAGGCCCGUGAUAACCAUUUAGAUCGACCAGAUAAAGGACUUGGACAUCAACAAUUUGCCCAGAAACCAAUAAGAUAUUGUAAUCAUAAGCAAUCACCCAUCUCUUUGGAUGGUGCUCUAUUGUGAUUCUUUCCUCUAUGACUGUUAAAUAAGCAAUGUAUUGCACUUUUGUUAUGCAAAAGUAUGGCGACCAUGUAUCAACCAGUGCAUCUAUUUUAUACACUAAUUAUGACUUACUAGAAAUUUUAUUACAUUAAUCAUUUUUAGAUAGCUACUCAUCGCAAACGAAAUAAACUGUUCAGGGACACUUGACCCAACAUGCUUGUGACCGACCUUAGAAUAAUUUUUUGUCACUUAAUAUAGACAACUUCUACGAGGUUAAUAUUUCUUCAAAUUUUAACAAAAUCAUUGGCCACAUGAAAACAUACACAUGUUUCCGUUGGCAUGUUAAGUAGACGGGAACAACAUGCGGGGUAUGUACGCCAUUACCUUAAACGAAGCAAAAUUAUCUUGUGUUUAUCAAAGUUUGAAACUAAUUCUGUGCUUACAAAGAAUGUAUGAAUAACGCAUUAUACUCAUACACCAAAUUUUAAUAUGAUGGAAUCAAGUAAUUCUGUCUUAAUCAAAGUUUUUAGACUUACAAGAUGAUGGUCAAGUUUAUAUAAAAGCAAAUAACACUGAAAUCUAAUCAUCCUAUACAAACAAAUAUGAUUUAUUCAAUUAUAGCAAACAAUUGUUUUAUCGGAGUUAAUUACAUUAUUGCUAAACUUGUAUAAGUUUUCCUGUUUCAAACAUAUCUACUUAAUUACAUUAUUCAUCGACAAUGUUACUUUGCCAGUGGAAGUUUCAUUUUUUCAUACCUUAAUCACUAUUUAAUGCUUCGUUUUCCAAUAGUUCUAAUUCUUCAAAUUUUGGUUUUAUUCUUCCAUAAUUAUAAAUUGAUACUGAUUCGCAUGACUCAAAUUAAAGUGGUUAAUUACUCUAAAGUAUAAAUCUAGCAGUCAAUAAUUACAUAAAAAUAAUUGCAAAAAAAAAGUUAAUAAGGAAUAGUAUAAAUUUAAAAACUGCCAAAGUUACGAGAUAUAUGCUUGAUAUUUAAAUCAUGGCCAUAAUACUUUCUCACAUUAUAUAUAUAUAUAUAUAUAUAUAAUGUGAUUCAGUUCUUUAAUUAACCACUCUAUGAAUAAAUAUGAGAAUUAAGUACAUAUUAUGCCACAACCUUAUUGAAGUGUUCCCACUACAAUAUUAGUAGUCAACAUUAGGUCUAAACACCCACAUAAAUCCAAGGGAUCUAGAUCUACAAAUAUUAACCACUCUAUGAAUAAACAUGGGGAUGAAGUACAUAAUUGCCACGACCAUAUUGGAAUGUUUCCACUACCAUAUUCGUGUGUCAACGUUGCGUCUAAACAUUUAUAUACAUCCAAGCAAAUUUAUAUUUGUAAAUAAAUAUAAAAUAUGGAAUGAAAAUAAUCGGUAGAAAAUAUAAAUUACAAACAAUAAACUUAAAAUACAUUUGAGAAAGUAAUUAAAUCCACAAUUUAGAUCCUUGAAUUUCACACUCAUCACCUUAGCUUAAAACAUUAGCCACUCAUAUUAAUAAAAAAAACACUCAUUUUGUUUUAUAAAUUUGUAAAAGUAUAAUACAAGAAAAAUUAAAAUAAAGAAGAGAAAAAAAAAAUCUCUUCUUAUUAACUACACUUCUUCAUAAAAUUCACUCUAAAUUUCUCUAGGAAACUCACCUCUAAAAUUCUACACACCGAAUUAUCAAAUCUCUUGCCUUUAUAUAAAGGUAAAUUCUAGGUUGAUCAAGUGUGGGUAUUUACAUGAUAUUUUUGGUGAACUUGCAACCACAACCUUUAAAUGACCUUUGAUAAUACAAAUACAAUCCAAGGGGUCCAAAAUUGCAAGUAUUGUCAUGCAUAAUAAAACGGUUCAUUCAACAUAAUCAAUGGCUAUAAAGAAGUCAAAUCGGGAUCCUCCAUUGGAUUUUUUUUUCUUAAUUAUUCAAGGUGGUUGAAUCACUAUAUUGAUAAGUAUUAAAUUUAGUAUAAAGAGGUGCAUGUGAGCUCAGACACACGACACAUAUCAACUUUUCAGAAUUAAUGUUAGAUAAAACGGCUACCAAUAUUUUUGUGAAAAUUAAAAUUAAAAUUUUUACUUUUAUUUAAUGUAUACUUUCUAGUAUUAAUCAUUAAUGAACAAUUUUUUAUUUCAUCGCCGUCUAGAUUGCUUUUAUCUUAUACAAAUUUAUUUAAAACCUUUAAAUAGUUUCUAACCACUAUAUAAUUUUAUCUGUCGUCCUUAAUCUUGUUAUCCACAACUGACCAACAUAUUGUUACCUACCAUUAUAGUUGUGUAAUUCACCUUUUGUUAACUGACUUCACUAAUAUAUUUUAAAAGAAACGUGGCCAUCUGUUGCUCGUUGGAUCACUUGCUUUUAAAUCCAAUAAUUCCGUGAGAUAAAGACAAAACGCUUGCUAUAGCGCUACAGUUACAACAUAGACGUGGCCGUAGAGGCGAGAAAAAAAAUCUAUUUGUUUAGUCACUGUACACUUUUUCAUUCAUUUUGUCCGCUUCCAAAUCCUCGGGAGAAACAACACAAAUAAAAAAAAGAUUUUAAGAAAUUUGAUGCCUUGUUCGCCGAAUCUCUCCACUUUUAAAUAGUGUCGUGAUCCUGAUCGUGUGAUCUGGUAAUGGUAUGACAAUUACUUUGGAGAAAACACCGGCCCACUUUUAAUAAAAUAAAUUUUAUACCAAACGAAUCAUAAGGCAAAAACACUGCACUUACCUAUCCAUACUGAUUAAACUCCCUCACCAUCACAUUUUAAUAAUGACAAUUGGUUGUGUUAGCAUUUUGGUCAAAAGGCUGGACCCCCCCGCCCCCACAAAACAAACAAAAAAAAAUUAUGAUAAUAAUUAACAUUCAUAAAUAAAAAUUAAUAAUGGGUGUGUUAGCAUUUUGGUCAAAAGCGGGUUUGACCUUCACAUUAAUUGGAAUUUUGGAUCUAUAAUAUGAUUUUCACCGAAAAUAUAAUUUUGCCGCUAAUUAUUUGGGUAAUCAGAUAAUAAUAACAAAAAAAUGUUAUCUCUCACCUAUAACUUGAGGAGAUAAUAAUAAAAGUCUUUCAUCAUAAUCUACUGUUAGUUUCUCUUCUUCAUUUUUUUCUCCUUUGAAGUCUUUCAACAAAAAUGGGUGGCAUCAUCUCAACCUUCUUCUCAGCGGACACAAUUCGUCCAAUUUUAUUUUACGUCGGUGGACAAGCAAAGUAUAUAUGGGGUCUUAAAGGUAAUCUCGAUGACUUGCAGACUCAAAAGGAGAACUUGAUUGCGAAAAAACAAGAUCUGCUGAAUAAGGUUAAGCUUGCCGCGCAACAACCCCGAAUCAGACGGACGACGACGGUGGAACUUUGGUUUAAAAGGGUGGAAGAAAUGGAAACUAAAGUUGAAAAUCUGCAAAAAGAAGGAGAUCAACAGGUUGAUAGACUGUGUCUUGGAGGCUUCUGUUCCACGGACUUGAUUUCAAGCUACGACUUCGGCAAAAAAGUGGAGAACUUGAGAGAAAAAGUGAUCGAACUGAAGAAAGAGGGGGAAGCAAUGAAAGAAGUUUAUGAGGGGGUACCAGAAGGUGCAGCGGUUGAAAAAGCUGUUGACCGAACAAUCGUUGGUCAAGAAUCAAUACUUGACCGAGUGUGGAGAUGCAUCACAGAUCAAGAAAAGAAUGAGGAAAUUAUUGGCUUAUAUGGUAUGGGGGGCAUCGGCAAAACUACUCUGUUAAAACAAGUCAACAACAAGUUCUGCAGUGAGGAGCAUGAUUUUGAUGUCGUUAUCUGGUCGGUUGUAUCUAGAGAGCCAAACUUGAAGCAGAUUCAAGAGGAUAUUGGGAAAAGGAUAGGCUUCUCAACAGAUUCAUGGCAGGGAAAAAGUUUUGAAGAAAGGGCUUCAGACAUCACCAACACUUUAAAGCAUAAGAAGUUUGUAUUGUUAUUGGAUGAUAUAUGGGAGUCCGAAAUUGAUUUAACAAAAUUGGGCGUCCCUCUUCGGACACUAGAUUCUGGGUCCAGAAUAGUCUUCACAACUCGUUUUGAGGGUACUUGUGGUAAAAUGGGAGCCCAUAAGAAUCGGUACAAAGUGUUUUGUUUGGGAGAUGACGAUGCCUGGAAAUUAUUUGAGGGGGUGGUCGGGAGUUACGUUCUUAACAAGCAUCCCGACAUUCCGAAGUUAGCCGAGGAUGUGGCACGUCAGUGUCAUGGUUUGCCGCUGGCCCUCAAAACAGUAGGUAAUGCCAUGGCGAGCAAAGUGUACCCUGAAGAAUGGAAAGAAGCAAUUGAGAUCCUAAGCGCAUCAGCUUCUAAAUUCGAAGAUAUGGAGAAAAAGGUGCUUUCGAGCUUAAAGUUCAGCUAUGACAGUUUGCCGAAAGAUGAACUUCGAUCUUGUCUCCUGUACUAUUGUUUAUUUCCCGAAGACUCUGAAAUUGAAAAAACUGAGUUGAUAGAGUAUUGGAAAAGUGAAGGAUUUGUGGAUUCCAGCAGCGGGUGGGGGGUUCUUGGUGCUCUCGUUCGGGCAUGCUUAUUGGAGGAAGCAGGUGAUCGUGUAAAAAUGCACGAUAUGAUCCGUGACAUGGCAUUAUGGAUAGCAACGGAAAUAGAGGAGGAGGAGAACUUUUUGGUUCGUGCAGGAGUUGGAUUAACUGACGCCCCAAAGAUUGAAGAAUGGGAAGGGGUCAAAAGGAUAUCCUUGAUGAGGAACAAAAUUCGAAGUCUACCACAAAUUCCCACUUGUCCGCGUCUGCAAACAUUGCUUCUGGAAUAUAAUCAUAUUGAGGAGAUCACUGAGAGUUUCUUUCAAUCUUUGCCUUCGCUUAGAGUUUUGAAUCUAAGUGGAAAUCAUUACCUAACUGAACUACCUGUAGGGAUUUCAAGUUUGGUUUCAUUACACCAUCUUGAUCUGUCUUCUACUGGAGUACGUGGAUUGCCGCAAGAGCUCAAGGCAUUGGUGAAUCUGAGAUAUUUGAACUUGGAGUAUACACAUGAAAUGUCUAGAAUUCCAGAGCAAUUGAUAUCAAGCUUUCCAAAGUUACAGGUACUCAGGAUGCUGUAUUGCGGUUCAAACCACCGGCCAAUAGCGGAAGAAGGCAACGUUCUAUCCGAUGAUGCUGAAUCAUUGAUGAAGGAAAUCCACUGUUUGGAACAAUUAAACCUCAUCACCUUGUCCUUACAUGGUUCGCGUGGUGUUGAAAACUUUCUGAAAUUCCCAAAGCUGCAGAAUAUCACUCAAGCUCUGUACAUCAAAGACUGCAACAGUCUACCGCUCAAUUUGUUGCAUCUAGCAAACAUGGAGCAUCUUGAGCGG